RNAcentral lists this long non-coding RNA (56728 nucleotides) under Cucumis sativus (cucumber). RNAcentral describes it as "long non-coding RNA (CSAT_LNC003034)". Lineage: Eukaryota; Viridiplantae; Streptophyta; Magnoliopsida; Cucurbitales; Cucurbitaceae. The record is from RNAcentral.
CCGUUUCGUGUAAGCCAUACGCGAGCCACGCGCAACCGAUCCAUUCCUGUGUGAGUCGUAUGCCAGCCGUGAGUCUCAAGACUCGAGCUGAAGCGUUGUUAGUCGAGCCACCUUCAGUUUUAGCCGUCUGCAACAUAUUUAAGCCCUUGGUGAGUUUUUGCUUAAUUCUCGUUGGGUUUGGUACACCCAAAUAAUUAUUGUUUUGGGUCUAAAAUGAGUUAGCACUGGAAUGAGUUGAAUUAUGUUGUUUGAGAUGGUCGUAUAAAUAGUUACUUUGAAAACCUUAUUAUGAUUUAGAUAUAGUAUUAUUUGUUGAGGCAUGCUAUAAUCAAAUAUGUUACUUUUGAGUUAUGUGUAAUUGAGCUAAGAUGUUGAUCUUAUGAUAAACAUGUAUAGGCUAUAGUGUUCUGUUAGUUUUGCCUAUUAGAGUUGUACCGUAUGGGGGUCCAUCAGGGUCACCACCUAUGUAUGCAUGUGUGACUUGUUUGAGAUGUGAUUCGACGGGAUCACUUACAGUCUGACUCUCCUAUAGGAUGAUUCCUUCGGGUUCACCGAGAGCCUAGAUGUGUCCCUACGGAACCACUUGAUAGUAUGCGUUCGGGAGCGCAAUAGUAUGCGGUACCAUGUUACAGGACUCUAACGAAAGGUUAACAGACACAUAGUGAGACCACUAUGGGUCUCUUACUAAGUAUAAAUUUAUACUCACUCUUUUAAAUGUUUAAUUUCAGGUAAGGGUAGAGGCAAGGGCAUAAUAGCGAAUGAUAAGAAGUGAUCAUGGAUCGCCAUAGGAAACAAUUCAGUUUUCUUCCGCAUUUAUAUUUCAAUAGUUAUAUUUUCAUAGGUUUAUUACAGAACUCUGGUUCAAUUACUUUAAGUAUUUCUUCUAUUUUUGGGCCCAAACUGGUAUUUUGAUCAGUUAUUUUAACUACUUAUUAUUUAAAGUUUUUCCUCAAAUUUUAAUUUAUUUUCUUGUAUAUUAAAAAAAAUCUAUAUUUACUUAAAUAGUAAUGACCUCAACCUUCUAGAAAAGUUGGGGCGUUACAAUUAAAACUAAGUUACCUAGGUCAUCCUAAUGAAUAGAAACCUGACUAGUAAACAGAGUUUCAUCUAGUAGUUAUUAUUUUGCCGUCUGAUCUUAUGUAAACUUAUUGCAUAAGAUACCGUCACUCGUAUGUCAACUACACAAACGCGUUGAAUCAUUGUGUUUGUAUCAAAUACAAAGUGAGCCAUAUUCAUAGUGUUACCAGGAUUAGGUAUUCAGCCUUAUCCUUGUACUAUAGAACCUUUAAGCUGAUCUUGAACCUUUAUCCCUGUAUGUCUCUACAUACUGUUUAAGAUUCAUUAAACAACUUAGGAUGUUAGUUUGUUUGAUUUGAGUUAUUAAGACAACUAAUAUUAUAACCAAUAACAAUUAUUACAAUAAUAACAUGUUAUUAACAACGAUUAAUGGAUUAUAUUUACAAUCUACGAGUUUUAGGACAUAAAUCCCAACAUAAACGAUCUUUUAUUUAGUCUAAACAAUAUUGUACCAAAUCUAAACGAUCCAUUAGUAACAGUGGUCUAUGUCUGUUUAUCUGGGAUAGACAACUGAUGAUUUAGAUAUUGAUACAUUAUCAUUUAAAUCAUGUACUAAUAUCAUUUAGAUCUUGUACCAAGAAGCAAAAAAAGAAGAUGAGAGAUGAAGAAGGAAGAAAUUUUGAAAAAGGAAAUGAAGAAAUCACAGACAAGAAGAAGUGAGAAUAUGAAAGAGAAGUAAUAAUAUGAAGAAAUUAAUAAUACGAAGAAGAGAAGAAUAAAUUGCAAAGAAGAAGAAAAAGAAGUGAAGUGAAGAAUGGUUUCACAAUGCGCAAAAAUAAUGACAAAGGGAAAAUCUGAAAUUUAUAAAAAAAAAUAAUGGUGGCUUCAUGUGCUUUAAUUUUUUGUUACAUGCGACGUAAAUAUUUUUGGGUUUUGCUACAUUUAUGUGUAUUAUUCAUGAUUUAAUUUAAUUAAUUACUUUUCCAAUUAAUUAAUUACUAAGUUAAGCAUCACAUAUUUAACUUAAUCUAGAAUUUGAAUUAUCUUCAAUUGUAUCUCGUGUACGAUCGGUAUGGGAAUCCUCAAGAGGGUGAAUAGGGUUUUUACAAAUUAAUGAAACAAGUGGGCCAAAUUAAAUAAAUUAACAAACUUUUUGCUAAUAAAUAAUGUAAUCAAUAAUCUCAUACAAAUGCAUGCACAUCAAAAUAACUUAUAAGGUGACGUUAACAAAUUCAAACAUCCAUUUUAAUGUUUAUAACAAGAAAAUUGGUAACACAAAUAUGCAAAGAUAAACUUAAACCAACCUAAAUAGAGAAGUGAGCAAUUAAUCUCAAGAACAAAAGUUGCAAUUAAUUUCAAACACUAAAAUUUGAUAACAAAUUAAUUGCAAAAUUAAAUAGUUGAGAGAUAAAGAAAUUAACAUCGGGAAUUUUAUAGUGGCUCGGCACAACCGACCUACAUCCACUUUUCAAGCUCCUCUUGGUUAUUUCACUCAAACUUGACUCUUUCGAUGGCUUAGAGUAGAUCCAUACAACGUUCCUUUUUUCAAGUGUAAGAACAAGCUCAAUCAUUUCCACGGUUUAGGAUCAAACCAUUACGACCACUCUUUUUAGAGAUCAAGAGAAAUCCUUUAAAAUGAAUUAGAAAUGAAGCACGAUAUGAGAAAAUCCUCUAAAUUAGUAGAUUUACAAAUUUGUAGUACUCAACAAUUAAAUCCCCAAUACAAUAAACUAGGACAUCCCCAUACCCAUUACACAUCUCCCACUUGUCCUAGAUUACCUAAUGUACAAAACUCGCAGAUCUAGACUCUCUAGAUGAGCCUCGAACACUUUAGCCGUGAGAGUCUUUGUAAAUGGAUCAGCAAUGUUAUGCUCCAAAGCGAUCUUGGUGACUAUCACUUCACUUCGUUGCACAAUCUCUUGUAUCAGAUGAUAUUUUCUCUCUAUAUGUUUUCCUCAUUUGUGGCUAUGAGGUUCCUUAUAAUUGGUCACUGCCCAAUUGAUAUCAAAAUAUAAAGUGAUGGGCAUGUUCAUAUUUGGAACAACUUCCAAAUCUUGCAGAAACUUCCUUAGCCAAAUUGCUUCUAUUGUUGCUUCACAAGCAACGACGUACUCAACCUUUAUAGUAGAGUCUACAAUGCAUCCUUGCUUGAUGCUAUGACAUGCUACUGUUCUCCCGUUUAGGGUGAACACUAAUCCCACUAGAUUUCCUAGAAUCCUUAUCUGUUUAGAAAUCAGGAUUAAAUCCCUAGCUUCAUACACAAGCAUGUAGUUUCUCAUUCUCCUAAGAUACUUAAGAAUAAUUUUAACCGUCGUCUAGUGGUCUAACCCUAAGUUGGACUGAUAUCUACUGACUAUUCCCACUACAUAAUAAAUGUCUAACCUAGUGCAGAACAUAACAUAAAUUAAGCUACCCACAACUAAGGCAUAUGGAAUAUGUCUCAUAUCUUCUCAACUUCUUGAGGUGUCUUAGGACAUUGUUCCUUAGACAAGUAAACCUCGUGCUUGAAAGGUAAUAAAUCCUUCUUAGAGUUUGCAUCGAAUAUCGAACCAAUAUUUUGUCGAUAUAGGUUGCCUGAGACAGUGCUAGCAUUUUGUUCUUACGAUCCCUUAUGAUUUGGAUCCCAAGAACAAAUUGUGCCUCUCCCAAAUCUUUCAUUUAGAAUUGGACUGGUAGCCAAGUUUUAACGUUAGUUAGGUAUCCUACAUCAUUUCCAGUGAGAAGGAUAUCGUCCACAUAAAGUACUAAGAAAGCUACUUUAUCUUUGUUGAUUUUCUUGUAUACACAAGGCUCAUCAACAUUUUGGUCAAAACCGUAAGAUUUGAUCGCAAUAUCAAAUCUAAUGUUCCAAGAUCUAGAUGUUUAUUUCAACCCAUAAAUGGAUCGAUUCAGCUUGUAAACUUUUUGUUUCUAACCUUGGGUUAUGAACCCCUCAGGCUGAGACAUAAAGAUACUCUCUUCAAGAUUGCCACUUAGAAAAGCAGUAUUAACAUCCAUUUGUCAUAUUUCAUAAUCAUAAAAAGUGACUAUGGACAAGAGAAUCCUUAUAGACUUUAACAUAGCAACAGAGAAAAAGUUUCCUCGUAGUCAAUCCCUUCCCUUUGGGUAUACCCAUUUGCUAAGAGUCUAGCUUUGAAGGUUUGUACCUUCCCAGCUGAAUCUCUCUUUCUCUUAUAGAUCCAUUUGCACCCUAUGGGUUUCACCCCUUCAGGUAGAUCUACAAGCUCUCAUACUGAAUUGAAGUACAUAGAUUCCAUGGUUUUAACCUAUUAGUCCUUGUCUACAUCAGUCAUUGCCUAUUUAUAGAACAAUGGAUCCUCAACGACAUCAUCUGGUAUGACAACCUGAGUUUCAGUUAAACCGAAGUAACGAUUAGGUUGUGAUAUAACUCUCCCACUGCAUCGAGGCAUUCUCAACAAUUGAGAAGGAUGAGACUAAUCGGAUGUGUUGGUUUCCUCAACUCUUGAUGAGGGACCAACUUCAUCAACAACCCUUGCUGAUUCAUUAGUAGCUUCACUUAAUUUUGAUUUGCUUCAUGGUUUAUGAUCUCUCAUGUUGUUUUCUUCCAAGAAAGUAGCCUUUGUCAAUAUAAACACUUUGUUUUCUUGUGGAUCGAAGAAUAGACCACCUCUCGUUUCUUUAGGAUAACCAAAAAAUUGACAUAACCUUGAACGAGAGUCCAACUUCUUAGAAUUUGACACUAAAACGUGUGCUGGACAACCCCAAAUUAUGGAGUGACUUAACUAGGUUUACAUCCUCUACAUAACUCGAAAGUGUAACGACCCAACUCUUUAUACUAAGUUGAGGUCAUUACUACUAAAACAAAUAAAGACUUUUUAUUUAAAUCAAAGAAAAUACUAAGUUUUAAAACAAACACUUCAAAUAUUUAUUCAUAAAAUAUAAGUAAAGUAUGUAAAGAAAACAAUAAAUAAAAUAUUAGUUUGGGCCCUAUUUAAAAUAAAAAUAUAUAUCUAAAAGUAAAUGUGGGUUCUGAAAUAAGUUUAUGAAAAUUUAAUAUUGAAAAUAUAAAUGCUAAAUAAAACAUAAAUUGUCCCCUAUGGAGAACCAUGGUGACUUCUUGUCAUUCGCCAACUUGCCUUUAUUUCUAUCUUUGCCUGAAAAAUUAAAUCUAGAAAGGAGUUAGUCUAAAUUUAUACUUAGUAAGGGAUCCACUAUUAGUCCCACUACGUGUUUGUUAAUUUUACGUUAAAGUCCUCCUAUAAGAAAGUACCGCAUAUCUAUUAUUCUACUGAAAUCACCCUAUCCAGUGAUCUCGUAGGGACAUAUAUGGGCUCUUGGUGAAGCAGAAGGAAUCACCCUAAAGAAGAGUCAAGUUGUAAGUGAUCUUGUCGAAUCACACAUCAAACCUAACCACAAAUACAUAAAUAGGUGGUGAUCCCGAGGGACACCUACAUGGUACGACUCUAACAAGUAAAGCUAACAGAACAUCAUAGCAUAUAUAUAGCAUAACAUAAAUAUCAUAUCUUAAUCGUAAUAUAUCUCAACCAUAGUAUAUCUCAUUCAUAACAUAUCAUGGUCAUCACAUAUCUCAGUCAUACAUAACGAUUUUCUAUGUUGCUAUCAUUAUCUAACAUCCUUAACAGUCACAUCACAUGCAUCAUAACUAUGUUAAUGCAUACUAAGGUAAAACAUAAUGUAAGAGGCUGGUAGUAGAAUCUUUUACCUGGAGAUUAAUUAGUUGAAAAUAUAGUCCCUUCCUGACAGUCAAUUCUCAAUUAAGUCAGGCCUAAACAUAAACAAAAUUAAAAUUGUUAAUUUUGUCAACCAUCAUCCAACUAUUUAAUUAAGCAUCCAAACUUACCCCAAGACUAAGGUUGAAUCCAACACAACCUUGAAUGAAAAAAUUUGCAGUUUCAAAUCCUCAAAUUAACACUUGAACCUUCGAGCAAAAGUAAUUCAACUCAUUCUCUUGUAAACUUAUUUAAGAUCCAAAGAAUAUUCAUUUGGACGUACCAAACCCAACACAAAUUCACCCAAAAGGCUCAAGAGAUACCAAAAAGUAACUUGGCUUGGACUAAGGUAGAAAUGGCUCACACAACUUGACAGAAGGAGAAUCGGCUCGACGGUUAGCUUGGGCGCACUACUCGCAAAGAGAGGAAAAAUCAGCAGAGUUGAGGGCAACUUGUGAAGAAGUGGAGAAUCGGCUCGGUGAUGCACAUAUCGGCUUGGUCAGGCAAAAGGUUCGUUCGACUGCUGCCUGCGAUGAGAUUUUGGUGGCACGAGACAGAACUUGCCGACAAUGAGGCUUGACAAAAACGUGCGAAAAAUAAAUAAAAAGAGAGAGACACCUCAACUUCACCUGUACGCGAACGGAGGAGGAAUGAUAGUGUCCACAAACGACGAGUGAUGAUCCUUGCAAUGGGUUCAGUGACGACUAGGGUUUGUGAAGAAGGAAGAAGAUGAUGAAUAGUUCUCUCUUUUCUUUGCACGUUUCACGAGGGUUAAUUAUAUAUAAUAAUAAUGAUGAUAUUUAUUAUUAUUAUCAUUAUUCCUUUUCCAUUUCCAAUUAACAAGUUAACUCAAUUAAAUUAUACUCUGUCUCCUCAUCAAACCAAACUUUUUAUUUUUCCCAAGAAUACAAUAUCUUUCAAAAUAAUUAUAUUUUCCACAAUAUAAUUAUUUUCUCUCGCUCAAAAAUAUCUUUCCUAAAAAAGUCAAUAAUAAAUUAUUCUUACCCUUCCAUGACUUAGUUUAUUAUAUUUACUUAUAUAAUUAGCCAAUAAUCUUAAAUCUCACCAAAAUUUCCAAUAAUACAAUUAAUUAAAUAAUCUUCCAUUGAACAUUUAAUUAAUCACAAUUUCCACAAAACAAACAAUUCUAAAAAAUUAUAACACUAGACUAAAUCCAUCAUAAAUUAAAUUAAAUUAAGAUAAUUUAAAAAUAAGAUUACGUCCCUCCUUUGAGAAACUUUCGUCCUUGAAAGUUCUAAUCCUUGUAUAGCUCGGGAUAAUGAGCUCUCAUGUUGUCCUCUCUCUCCCAAGUAGCUUUUUCAACCUCGUGGUUUUGAUAAAGAACAUUAAUUAAUUCCCCUGUUAUGAAGCAACUUAACUUCUUUUGCCAAAAUCUCAACUGGUUGCUCCUCAUAGCUCAAGUUCUCAUUGAUUUGCAAUGACUCAUAAUCAACUAUAUGUGUUGGAUCUGUUACACACUUCCUCAGCAUGGAUACAUCGUAUACAUCAUGAACUGCAGACAAUGACAGAGGCAAUGCCAAAUGAUGAGUUACGAAACGUGGACUCAGGUUUCCCUUCUUCUCAAACCUCAUAACACCCUUCAUAGGUGCUACCUUUACAAAAACCAUGUCCCCUACAUCGAACUCAAGAUCCCUACGUUGUUCAUUGGCGUAACUCUUCUGUAUGCUCUGCGCUGUCAACAUGCGGGCUCUAAUCUUCUGUAUGGCCUCAUUGGUGGUCUGAACUAGCUUGGGACAUAACAUCCUCUGCUCACCAACCUCACCCCAACAUACAGAGAAUCUACAACACUUACCAUGCAGAGCUUCAAAUGAUGCCAUGUCAAUGGUAGCCUGCUAACUGUUAUUAUAAGCGAACUCCAUCAAAUGCAAAUAGGAGUCCCAACUUCCUGAAAACUCUAGCACACAUGUUUGGAACAUAUCCUCCAAAAUUUGGCUCAAACGCUCUGUCUAACCAUCAGUCUGAGGGUGAACAGUUAUACUAAAGUCCAAUCUCGUGCCCAUGGCAGCCUGAAGUCCUUUCCAAAACUUGGAAGUAAAAUAGGCAUCUCUAUCAGAAACAAUUGACACGAGCACUCCAUGCAGUCUCACUAUCUCGGUCAUAUACAACUGUGCCCACUUACUGGCAGUACAAGUGGCCUUCUCUGAGAUGAAAUGGGCUGACUUCGUGAGCUUGUCAACAAUAAACCAAAUUACUUUAUAACCCUUCAGAGACCUUGGCAGUUCUAAAAUGAAAUCUAUAGACACAUUCUCCCACUUCCAUUCUGGCACACUCAAAGGUUGCAAAAAACCUGUUGGCUUCUGUUUUAGUGUCUUCACCUGUUAGCAAACUAGAGACUUAUUGACAAAGUCUGGCACUUCCCUCUUCAUAUUUUUCCACCAGUAAACUUGUUUUAAAUAUUUAUACAUCUUUGUACUAUUUGGAUGCAUAGAAAGUGGAGAAUUAUGGGCCUCAACCAACAACUCUGUCUUAACUACACUGUCUGCUGGCACACAUAACCGUCUCUCGAACAUGAGUCCAUCAUCAGAGGAUAAAGAGAACUCCUCAGCUUACCCUACUUCUGUUAAGCAUCACUUAUCAACCAAAUAAGGAUCAGUGAGCUGAGCAAUAAUAAUUCUCUGCCUCAAAGUUGGUUGUACUGACACCUGAGCUAACUGUGAGGUGACUUCUCCUACUAAAAAUGCAAUCUUAGCUCUCUCAAGAUCUCUGUGCAAAGGAACCUGACUAGUAAUGAGUGCUACAGAGUAUGAUACCUUCCUACUAACUCACGAUCUCAUGAUCGUAGUCCUUGACCAACUCGAGCCAUCCGCUAUCUCAUAUCUCAUAUUUAAGUCCUUGACCAAUUCAAGCUCUUAUGGUCAAUGAAGAUCUGAAUCUUCUCACCAUAUAAAUAAUGCCUCCAAAUCUUAAGUGCAAAAACUAUUGCUGCCAAACUCUAAAUCAUGUGUAGGGUAGUUCUGCUCAUGGCUCUUCAACUGAGGAGAGGCAUAAACAACCACCUUACCUUAUUGCAUCAAUACACAACUCAAUCCUUUCUAAGAGGCAUCGCUGUAAAUCACAUAACUCCCAGAUCCAUCUGGCACUAUAAGGACUGGUGUAGUAACAAGUUUCUGUUUAAGAUCCUGGAAACUGCUCUCACAUGCUGGGCUCCAAACAAAAGGAUUCCCCUUCCUGGUUAGCUAGGUCAAAGGACUAGCUAUACGAGAGAAGCCUUCCACGAACCUUCUGUAAUAACCUAUUAAACUCAAAAAACUUUAAACUUCACUGACUGUACAAGGUCGAGGCCAAAUGGUAACAACUUUAAUCUUUGCUGGGUCUAUAAUAACUCCUUCACUGGACACUACAUGGCCAAGGAACAAAACUUGCUUCAGUCAAAACUCACACUUGGAAAACUUGGCAUAUAGCCUAUUGGCUCGAAGAGUCUCUAAUACCUUAUGCAAAUACUCCUCAUGCUCAGCCUCUGUCUUGGAGUAAACCAAGAUGUGAUCAAUAAAAAAUAUCACAGAAGUGUCUAAGAAAUCCUUAAGCACCACCUUAUUCAUCAAAUCCAUAAAUACACCAGGAGCAUUUGUCGAGCCAAAGGACAUCACAAUAAACUCGUAAUGUCCAUAUCUGGAAAGGCAGUCUUGGGAAUAUCACUGUCUCUAAUCCUCAACUGGUGAUAUCCUGAUCGUAAAUUGAUCUUAGAGAACACAGUGGCUCCCUAAAACUGAUCAAACAAGCCAUCAAUCCUGGGCAAUGAAUAUUUGUUCUUGACUAUCACCUUAUUAAGCUUUUUAUAGUAAAUGCAAAGACACAUCAACCCAUCUUUCUUCUUCACAAAUAAUGCCGGUGCUCCCCAAGGUGACAUACUAGAUCGAAUAAAGCCCUUGUCCUAUAAUUCUUGCAACUAGACCUUCAACUCCUUCAGCUCAGCUGGAGCCAUUCUGUAUGGAGCUCUCGAUAUGGGACCAGUGCCUGGUUUCAGUUCAAUAGCAAAAUCAACCUCUUUGUGAGGAGAAAGUCUUGAAAGCUCUUCUAAAAAAACAUCGGGGUAUUUCCUUACCAUUCAUUCAGAUGAUAAGGAUACAUCGGGCUCUCUGGUAUCUACAACACUAGCCAAGAUACUCUAAGUACCUUGGUUGAACAACUUACUGGCCUUCAUGGUUGAGAUAACUUUGGGUAGGCCACAGUCCCCGCCCCCUUAUACUUUAAACUAGUCGCCUCAUGAGGGUUAAAAACUACCUCCUUGCGAGAAUAAUCUAUGUUUGCAUGGUUAGCAGAUAGCCAAUUCAUGCCCGAUAUUACAUCAAAGUCUUGCAUGUGUAAUACUAAUAAAGUUACAUCUAAAACAUGAUAUGCUAUUUCUAUUUAACAUGUUUUUAUCUUUCCUUUCGACAACAUAAUUUCUCCAGAUGGAGUAGAGACAAAUAACAUAUAACUCAAGGGUUCUACUUGUAAACUCAUAUGUUGAACAAAAAUUGGCGAUAUAAAAGAAUGAGAGGACCCCGAGUCAAAUAAUAAUAAAGCAAAGUGCUCCAAGAUUAGGAGUGUACCUAUCACCACUGUGUAAGCUUUCUCAGCCUCCUGUUGAUUAGUGGCAAAAACUCACCCCUAUCGAGAUGUAGAAGUCUAGUUCGAGAUAGGUUCAAACUAUUUCUGAGGGUAAUUAUCAGCUAUAUAUAUGUCAGGUUGCCUACACUUGUAGCAUAUACUACUUCCUAUUAGGCAAUGACCUGAAUGAGACCUUUCACAAUUAGAACACAUGUAUACUUCCUUCAAGGUUUUGCCUGCCUCAACAACCUACUGUCUAAGCUGCUGGAACAAACCACCUAAUCUCAAAUUCCUUUGUGGUGCUAUUGUAGGCUACUGCUAAGCCUUCCUUUUCUACCCUACAAUUGGACCAUUCUCUACAGCCUUGGCCAUCUUUAUCCUCUCAUGCAAACUCAAAUCCACUGUCAUGUGUAGUGCAUCAUCUUAGGUAGCUAGUCUAAAGACUCUAACGAAACCCUGGAUCUCCUACUUAAUGCCUUUGACAAACUUGUCAACUCUCUCAGUCUCAGUUCUCACUAACUCAGGUGCAAAUCGGGAUAACACAUCGAAUUCUUGAUCAUACUCCUCUAUGGCCAUAUUGCCUUGCUCCAACUUUAAGAACUCUUGACACGAAGAAGAAUUUGGCAUGAAAAUUCUCCUUAAACUACUUUUAGGUGAUCUGACUCAUAUCUCCACCCAACAUCCUCUAUGUGGACUUCCACUAGCCUCUGUCUCUAUCAGUCAGUAAGAACACGACGCACUAAACUUUCUGGUCAUUGGAGCACUUCAUGUAACGAAAGAUAGUCUUCACCGAACUCAACCACAUCUGCGCCUUGGUGGAGUUUGCCAAGGAUCCAUCGAAAGUCCGAGGGUUAUACUUCCUGAAAUCCCUCAGGUGUUUGGCUUCUGCUGAAAGCAUAUCAAGUAGGUUAUAUGCUACAAUUGGGGCCUAAACUCCCGCAACUGGGAUCUAAACACUUGCAGCCGGUGUCCGUACAUGAGUUGUUUGGAUAUCCUAGGUAGGUUGUCACUGUGCCAAUACUUUGAACAAUAAGUCUAUGUACAUUUGCUCCAUGGCAGCAAGGUAUGCAUGAGUGACAGGUGCAGUAGGGUCGAUAACUUGUACAACAUGCUGUCCUUAAGGCUGGUUACGUCUAAAAAUUAUUUAAAUUCAAAAACUGUAACACCCAAAAAUUAAGGUAAUUUUAUUUUUUUAAUUAUCUUAGUUUAAUUUAAUUUAUGAUGGAUUUAAUUGGGUGUUAUAAUUUUUUUAGUAUUGUGGAAAUUGUGAUUAAUUGAAUGUUCAGUGGAAGAUUAUUUAAUUAAUUAUACUAUUGAAAAUUUUGGUGAGAUUUAAGUUUAUUGGUUAAUUAUAUAUGUAUAUAAUUAAUUAAGUUAUGGAAGGGUAGAAUAAUAUAUUAUUGAUUUUUUUUAGGAAAGAUAUUUUUUAGAGAGAAAAUAAUUAUAUUGUGGAAAAUCUAAUUAUUUGGAAAGAUAUUGUAUUUUUGGGGAAAGUAAAAAGUUUGGUUUGAUGGGUAUUUAACGAGGAGAGAAAGUAUGAUUUGAUUUUGGUUAAUUUGUUAAUUAGCAAAAGAAAAGGAAUAAUGAUAAUAAUAAUAAAUAUCAUUAUUAUUAUUAUAUAUAAUUAACCCUUGUGAAACGUGCAAAAAAGGGAACUAUUCAUCAUCUUCUUAAUUCUUCACAAACCCCAGCCGCCAUCGUGCUCCGUUGCAAGGAUCACCGCUCGUCGUUUGUUGACACCGUCAUUCCUCCUUUGUUCCUUAGUGACGAAGUCGCACAAGCCGACUAUGCACCCCCCACCUCCUACGUUUGCAUGUAGGUGAAGCCGAGGAAUCUCUCUCUUUUCAUUUCAUCAAUCAUCUAGUUUUUGAACGUUUUCAUUAAGCCUUACCGUCGUUAAGUUCUGUCUCGUGCCACCCAGAUCUCAUUGCCGGCAAUCGUUAAACGAACCCUUGCUUGAGCAAGUCGAUCUGUGCAUCACAGAGCCACUUAUCUACUCCUUCGUAAAUCGCGCUUGUCACAGCCGAUUUCUUUCUCCUUUUGUGAGUUGUGCACCCGAGCUGACUGCCAAGUCGAUUCUCCUCCUGCAGAGCCGCGUGGGCCAUUUCUGCCUUAGUUUAAGCCAAGUUGCUUUUUGGUAUCUCUUGAGCUGUGUUGGUUUGGUAUGCCCAAAUGAAUAUUUUUUGGAUCUUAAAUAAGUUUACAAUGGAAUGAGUUAAAUUAUUUUUGUUUGAAGGUUCAAGUGUUAAUUUGAGGAUUUGAGACUCCGAAAUUUUCCAUUCAAGGUUUUGUUUGAUUCAACCUUAAUCUUGGGGGUCAGUUUGGAUGCUUAAUUAAAUAGUUGGAAGUUUGGAUGCUUAAUUAAAUAGUUGGGUGAUGGUUGAAAAAAUUAAUAAUUUUAAUUUUGUUUAUGUUUAUGACUGAAUUAGUUGAUAAUUAAUCUCCAGGUAAGAAGUUUUAUUAUUAGAUCCUUACAUUAUGUUUUCCCUUAGUAUGCAUUAACGUAGCCAUGAUGCAUGUGAUGUGACGGUGAAGAAUGUUAGAUAAUGAUAGCUACAUAAAAAAUCGUUAUGUAUGACUAAGAUAUGUGAUGACCACGAUAUGUUAUGAAUGAGAUAUACUAUGGUUGAGAUACAUCAUGUUUGAGAUAUGUUAUUUAUGUUAUGUUAUAUGUAUAGACUAUGAUGUUGUGUUAGCUUUACCUGUUAGAGUCGUAUCAUAUGGGUGUCCCUCGGGAUCACCACCUAUUUAUGUUUGUGUGGCUUAGCUUUUAUAUGUGAAUCAAUAGGAUCACUUACACUUCUUUAGGGUGACUCCUUCGGGUUCACCAAGAGUCUAGAUGUGUUCCUACAAGAUCACUGGAUAGCGUACGUUUGGGAGCACAAUAGAUAUUCGAUAUUUUCUUACAGGACUAUAACGAGAGGUUAACAGACACGUAGCAGGAGUAGUAGUGGGUCUCUUACUUAGUAUAAAUUUAUACUCACCAUUUUCUAUGUUUAAUUUUUCAGGUAAAGGAGCAGGUAAAGGCAAGCUCGCGAAUGGCAAGAAGUGACCGUGGAUCGUCAUAGGGAACAUCUUAUGUUUUCUUCCACAUUUAUGUUUUGAGUAUUAAAUUUAUUUCAGAACCCAUGUUUACUUUUAGAUAUAGUUUUUUUAUUUUAAAUAGGUUCCGAACUAAUAUUUUAUUAUAUACUUUACUUAUAUUUUAUGAGUGUUUCUUUUUAAAACUUAGUAUUUUAUUUGAUUUAAAUAAAAAGUCUUUAUUUGUUUUAGUGGUAAUGAUCUCACCUUAGUAUAAAGUGUUGGAUCGUUACAGAAAGGUAUUUUAGAAACACUUUUCGAGGAACAUUGUUCAAUCUGCAUACCCCCAAAACGAGCAAGGCAAUUGAGCAUGACUCAUCAUUAAACGAACCAUGUCUAACAAGGUUUUAUUUCUCAUUUCUAAUAUACCAUUUUGUUGAGGUGUACCAGGUGCUGAAAGUUGUAAUUGGAUUCCAUGUUCUAUCAUAUAGUCCUGGAAUCUCAAAUCCAUAUACUCUCCACCUCGAUCAGAUAAAAGUAUUUUAAUUUUUUUUACUUGAUAGAUUUUUAACUUCAGCCUUAUACUUCUUGAACUUUCCAAGAGCUUCAGACUUACGUUUCAUUAAGUAUAAAUAAUCAUACCUUGAAUAAUCAUCUAUAAAAGAGAUGAAGUAUUCAAAACCUUCUCUAGCUUUUACAUUCAUUGGACCAUAGUGGUCUGAAUGUAUAAGUUCUAUGGGCUCUUUGGCUCCAUAGCAUUUUCUAGUAAAAGGUCUCUUUAGUCAACUUUUCUUCAAGACAAGAUUCACAUGGAGGCAAUGAAUCAUCUUCUAACUCAUUUAGAAGUCCAUUCUUUACCAAUCUCCCGAUCCUAUCGAGAUUAAUAUGACCUAAUCUUGAAUGCCAAAGAUAGGUAUUAUUUUGAGUAUUAGCAGUUUUAAACAUCUCAUGAUUUAAAAUUGCUUUCGCUUUGUUAGGUCUUAAUACAUACAAAAGUUGUCUUCAAGCUUAGCUGAACAAAUGUGUACACCAUUCUUAGAAAUGAACACUUCAUUUAAAGAAAAAUGUUACAUUAUAUGAUUGUUCAAUAAGACAAGAAAUAAAUAUAAGAUUCCUUUUAAUCUUAGGAACUAUAUACAAGUUUUUUAAAAACAAGAAUCUAUUUUAAAAAGAAAAUUUAACAUCUCCCAUUACACGAGCUGAAAUGGCAUCUCUCGUUUUAACUUUGAGUGUAUCUCAUCCUCCUCGAGCUGCUUAAAGGAACUAGUUUUAUGUAAAGAAGAGCAAACAUGACUAGUGGCUCCUAAAUCAAGUAUCUAGACAUUUUGGUCAUUUUCCACUAAACAUGUUUCUAAGGCAAGUAAAUUAUAUUUACUUUCUUUUUAAUUCUUCUUAAAUAUCUCUUGAAGCGAAUCCUUGAUCUGACGUCUAAUGACCAUGGUUUUGUGUUUCUUGCUUAGUAUGUCAGACAUACUAGACAAGAGAUACACACAGGCCUUGUCAUUGGCCUUUGUCCAAUGAUUAUAUGCAUCCCUAAAAUUUUUAGAUGCAUUUCGAGCAGAGGAAGUAGCAAAAUGGUGUAGUUGAAAGGAAAAAUCGUACUUUGCAAGAAUUUGCUAGAUCAAUGUUGAAUGAGUAUGGUUUACCUAAAUAUUUUUGGACGGAAGCCGUUCACACCGCUUGCUAUGUUUCAAAUAGAGUUUUAGUUAGACCCUCUUUAGAUAAAACUCCUUAUGAACUUUGGCAUGGUAAAAUUCCAAAUAUUGGGUAUUUCAAAGUUUUCGGUUGUAAAUGUUUUAUUUUGAAUAACAAAGAAAAACUUGGAAAAUUUGAUUCUAAGACGGAUGUUGGUAUUUUUCUAGGAUAUUCCUCUACUAGUAAAGCUUAUAGAGUUUUCAAUAAGAAAACUUUAGUUAUUGAGGAAUCUAUUCAUGUUGUAUUUGAUGAAUCUUGGAAUAAUGUUUCUAAUGAGUCUAUUUGUAGUGAUGAUUUAGAAAAAGAUUUUGGAGAUUUACUUGUUAAUGACAAAGGCAAAGAAAUUGUUCCAAGUAUGCAAGAUGUGAACAUCAUAGAAAAGAAAGAAGAGGGUUCUUCAUCCUUGCCUAAAGAGUGGAGAUAUGCUCUAUCCCAUCCCAAGGAUCUAAUUCUUGGCAAUCCCGAACAAGGUGUCAAAACUCGUUCUUCUCUUAAUUUAUUUAGUAAUCUUGCUUUUGUGUCUCAAAUUGAACCUAGAAGUUUUAAAGAUGCCGAAUGUGAUGAGUUUUGGAUUUUAGCUAUGCAAGAAGAAUUAAAUCAAUUUGAAAGAAACAAAGUUUGGAAAUUAGUCCCUAGGCCUUCUAAUGCAUCUAUAAUCGGAACAAAAUGGGUUUUUAGAAAUAAGAUGGAUGAAAAUGGAAAUAUCAUUAGAAAUAAAGCUAGACUUGUAGCUCAAGGUUAUUGUCAAGAAGAAGGUAUAGAUUAUGAAGAGACUUUUGCACCGGUUGCUAGAUUAGAAGCUAUUAGAAUGUUGCUUGCUUUUGCUUCUUAUAAAAAUUUCAUUUUGUAUCAAAUGGAUGUAAAAAGUGCUUUUUUAAACGGUUAUAUAUUGUAGAGGAAGUUUACGUAGAACAACCUCCGGGCUUUGAAAGUUUUGAUUUACCUAAUCAUGUUUAUAAGUUGGAAAAGGCUCUUUAUGGCUUAAAACAAGCUCCAAGAGCUUGGUAUGAUAGACUUAGCAAGUUUUUACUUGAGAAUGACUUUAAGAUGGGAAAAAUUGAUAAUACUCUAUUUAUUAAAGUUAAAAAUAAUGACAUGCUUAUAGUGCAAAUUUAUGUGGAUGAUAUUAUAUUUGGUUCUACUAAUUCAUCUUUGUGUGAAGAAUUUUCCAAGUGUAUGCAUAAUGAGUUUGAGAUGAGUAUGAUGGGAGAACUUAGUUUCUUCCUUGGCCUUCAAAUCAAACAACUCAAGGAUGGCAUCUUCAUAAGUCAAGAAAAAUACACAAGGGAUUUGCUCAAGAAAUUCAAAUUCAAUGAAGGUAAAGUUGCAAAAACUCCUAUGAGCACUACCACUAAGCUUGACAAAGAUGAAAAAGGUAAGUGUGUGGAUAUAAAGACUUAUCGAGGUAUGAUCGGAUCUUUACUUUAUUUGACCGCUAGUAGACCCGAUAUCAUGUUUAGUGUAUGUCUUUGUGCUAGAUUUCAAUCUUGUCCUAAAGAAUCACAUUUCCAUGCCGUUAAAAGGAUACUUAAAUAUUUGCUUGGAACUAUUGAUGUUGGAUUAUGGUAUCCUAGAAAUGUUGAGUUUAAUUUGGUAGGAUAUUCCGAUGCGGACUUUGCCGGUAGUUUACUUGACCGUAAAAGUACUAGUGGGACUUGUCAAUUUCUUGGUAGUUCCUUAGUAUCUUGGUUUAGUAAAAAGCAAAAUUCGGUUGCCUUAUCCACUACCGAAGCGGAAUAUAUUGCGGUUGCUAGUUGUUGUGCACAAAUUCUUUGGAUGAAACAAGCUCUUUGUGAUUUUGGAUUAAAAUUUGAUAAUGUGCCUAUAUUUUGUGAUAAUACUAGUGCCAUAAAUUUGACUAAGAAUCCUAUUCAUCAUUCUAGAACUAAGCAUAUAUAUAUUAGGCAUCACUUUAUUAGAGAGCAUGUACAAAAUGGUCAUAUUACUCUUGAGUUUGUAAGCUCCAAUAAUCAAUUAGCGGAUAUAUUUACCAAGCCUUUGAGUGAAGAAAGCUUUUGUAAAAAUAGGCUUGAGCUUGGAAUUAUUCGUUGGGAUGCAUCUUGAUUUUAUAUCUUACUUGAUAUUGUUACCGUAAUGCAUAUUGAUAGGAGGAGAAUUAGACAUUUUGUAUGUGUUCAUGUUUUUUGGGAGAGCUAACUUCAUUGGUAUUGUUUUUGAUGAUUCCAAAGGGGGAGAAGUAUAAGAAAAAUAUGUUUUUAUCAAUUUGUUGCAUAAUUGUUUCUAUUGAAUAAUGCAUAUUUUUUUAGAGAAAAAAAAUUAAUUAAGGACAAAGAAGGUUCUCUUAUCAAUUGUUUUCAAGUAUGUUCUUUGUGGUGAAAUAUAUACAUGAGCUUUAUGGUUAUACAUCUUGAUAAUAGAAUUACUUGUUGAUCAUGUGUGUUUCAAGUUAUUUUUCUUCAAUGAUUUGUCAUCAUAAAAAAGGGGAGAUUGUUGGCUUUUUGGCCCUUAAUCUCAAAUUUAUUUAUUUUAAUUAUUCAAUUAAUUUAUGUUUUGAUGAUAACAAAUCUGAUUUUUUUAUUGACAAUUUUAUUAAUUUGAAUAGACCAUAUCGUAGAGCUUGGAAAAAUGAUUCUAACGCCUCUUGAAUCACCCAAAUCGAAGUUCAAAUGAAGAAAAUAUUGCUAAAAGAAGGUUAACAGAAAAAUACCCGAGAUGGUGACGUGGCGACCAAGCAUUCAAUUUGAACCAAUUAGAGAAAGCCACUUGGAGCAAUGAAGGAGUAACAAAUGUGGCUUUUUGUUAUGUUUUAUUGGCUUUUAUAAAGAAAAUGAAUUUAAAAAGAAAAUGAUUUUAAUAUUAUUAUUUUUCCUUGUGUCUAACGGCUAGUUGUUUUAAAAGAUGGUGAAGUUGCUUUAUUGAUUUCUUUUUAAACAAAGUAUUUUGAAAAGACAUAUUAUUAUAUUAUUAUUUGUAUUGUGUCUAACGGCUAAUUAAGUUUAAAUCUCAACCAUUCAUUUUUCUUUUACUUAUAUCUAAUGACCCAAAUGAUUUUGAAUUUAUCUUUCCUCUCUUUUUAAAUACUUCACAUUUACACAAGAUCACAACAUCUUUACAAUCCUCAAGCAAAAAGCCAACAUUGUUAUUCUCUCUAAAGCUUCCAAUUUUUAUUCUUUUCAUCUUAUUCUUGAGAGCUUCUUAUUGUAUUGUGAGGAUUAAAUUUGUGAGCUUCAAAUUAUAUACUCACUCUUUUAGAGAGUUUUCUUUUGUAUGAUUUAAAAACUUCAACAUAUUGUAACGGUUGGAUCCUAACCCGUGGAAAGGAUCGAGUUUGCUCUUGAACCCGAAAAAGGAGCAAGAAUCGGUUCGGCUCAAAUCCGUGAAAAGAGUCCAAAGAAGAUUUUCAAUCAAAAUCCCAAGAGGUGCUUGGGAAAGUGGAUGUAGGUUGAGUUUAACCGAACCACUAUAAAAUUACGGUGUCUUCUUCUCUAACUCUUUUCUAAUUAUUUUUUAAUUUAAUUUUAGUUACAUACUCUUAUUGGUUGAGUUUGAUUGCAUACUUCCAUUCAUAUAUUUUUAUCAAUCUUGUUAUUUAACAAAGUUUACAAAGUUCUUUAUUUAAAUUUAAAAAGUAUCUAAUUAGUUGAUUUUACUUUUUAUUUGUCAAAAAAGUUUAUUUAAACCCUAUUCACCCCUCUAGGGUUGCCAUACCGAUCCAAAAAUUGGUAUCAGAGCAAGGUUGCUCAUCUUGAAAUUUUAAUUUCUUGAUAAACUUUAUUGUUAGAGCAUUAUGGCAAACCUAUUGGCAAAUGGUAUUGUUGAAGGUCAAUCUACUUGUUGCUCAUCACUGUAGCAUGAUAAUUGAAAUGACCUUAGGGUGGGGAUUGAAAUCAAGAGCUACAACAAACAUCCCUGUGGAGGAAGAACUACAAAAAACAUCGUUGAAGAAGCAGUCCAUUCUCUUCUUCUAUGUAAUUCAUAAGCAUGAAUCAUAUGUGUCCACAUAAUCCCUUUUUAUUCAUUGAAAAGGAUAUGUUAGAGUGAGUAGGCCCAAAUAUCAUUGGGAAUAGGAGUAGACCAUCCAAAGGAGAAGACAGUACACCAUGAAUCUGUACAAAGGAAUAUAUUCCUCCCAUUACCAAGCUUAAACUUUGCAACUUGAAAUGCUGAUCCAUGGACUUCUCAAACCUAAACCAAGCUUACCCGAAGUGCACCAAAGAUUUGGAUCAACUCCAUGAAUACUUCUAACAAUUUUGCACCAUAAAGAGUCCUGCUCCUUAAGGAUUCUCCAACUCCAUUUAAACAAUAAAGCUGUAUUUCUGUUUUCAUUUCCAAUCCCUAGACCACCAUCUUUUAGAGCUUUCGAAGCUAACUCCUGUUUAACCAAAGGAUUCAGCUUGCUGCCUUUUUGACCUUCCCAAAAGAAGUUACAUAAAAGUCUCCAAUUCUUGUAUCACCAAGAAAGGCAUUUGGAAUAAGGACAUAUUAUAAGUUGGUAGGUUGGCCAAAACUGAAUUACAUAAAGUUUAACGGGUCAUUGAUUCCUCUGCUUCUUUUACUGUUAAAUCCCUAAUUGAUGAUUUAACUUGUUCAAUAGGGUCCUCUACCAGAAAUCUUUAUUCUAUUAUUCGGUCUGAUCACUACCCAAAGAAAAUUAAAUUAUUCUGGGAACUUAGUCACGGUGCCAUUAAUACUGCUGAUUGCCUCCAACGCCAAAUGUCGUAUAUGUCUUUUUCUCCUACUUGGUAUGUUGUGUGUCAAACUGCUGCGGAAUCUGCCUCUCACCAAUUUGCGCACCGUUCCUUUGCUACUCAGUUUUGGCACAUCAUCUGGGAUGCUUUUUGGUUGGUCGAUCUCUCUUUCCAAUAAAAACUUCUUGGUGGGUCACCUUUUUGUGGGAUGUAAAAAGACAAUUUGGUUGGCUAUUGUUCGUGCCUUCUCCUAGACUUUAUGGACUGAGCACAAUAGGAGGCUGUUUCAGGACUCUACUGCCUCUUGUACUUCUUUUUUGGACACCAUUUUAUCUACUGCUUUUUAUUGGUACAAAAAUGGGCACCCUUUUAAGAACUAUAGUCUCUCCUUUCUCUUUUCUAAUUGGCUAUAUUUUUUUAAUCACCUUUAGGAGUUUGGGUUUCCCCUGUUUCAUUUUAUCAAUGAAAUGUUUCUUAUCUUAAAAAAAAAAAAAGUUAAACGGCCCCUCUGGACAAGUUAUACCCUUUUCCAUUUAUCGAGUUUCAAAUGGACUUUAUCUAUAACAGGCUGCCAAAAAGACUGCUGUUUAGAAUAACCACCAAGAGGUAAGCCAAGAUAUAUAAAGGCAAUUACCAGCCUCCCAAUUCAGCCUUGAAGAAGUAGAGAUCAAUGUAGCCUCAUCAAUAUUGCCUCCAUAUAAUGCUUACUUCUCCCAAUUAACUUGCUGCCCUGAGCACAAUUCGAAGAGAAUAUCUAACAUGGCUUCUAUUUUUUAUUCUAAAAUCUUUCAAUCCUGCAAUCAUAGACGAUACCUUUCUUUUUGUAAAUAAGGAUAAGUAGGACGUGGGGAGUUUGAAAGGGUUGCUUGUAGAAGAGUUAGAUGACCCCCCCCCCCCUCCCCCGAGUGGUUCCAUGAUUGUAAACAUCUCUCAACUUUCACAAUCAUAGGAGUUCAAAAGGAUAACAUACGAGGCUUGUACUUUUUGUGAGAUUGUGGAGUGCAUAAUGAAUCUAAAGAAUAUUUAAGGUAACAGAUAGCCUCCUAACAAUGAAAUGCAUUGAAAGAAAAUGUUGCACUAAGAAAAAUAAAUAACGAAUUCUGCUCAAUAUAAUAAAAAUCAAACAAAUCAACAUAAUGGACUUACUGUAUUGCCUUUCUCUAUGUACCAAUGAAGCCUAUCAACAAUCUGCAUUGCAGAAGACAUUUUAGUAUUUACAAGGACUAUGAAAUGGAAAAAAUAAUGAGAGCGAGAAAAAAUUAAACAGGAAAAAUAAUGGAGAAAACACGUCCAUAUGUCUGGACAGCAAAAAAGACCGGCUGCUAACAAUUUCCUUCUGCUAUCACACAUUGAUGUUUUAUAAGAGACAUCAUCAGACAAAAGCGAAGUAGAAACAGCUUAGGGACGGUGAAAAGUGAACCCCAUCCCAAAAAAACUAAUUGCAGAAAAUUUGACCAAUUGUUGUGAUGCAAAGAAAUUGGAUAAUUGCAAAAGAAUUGGCUAUAACUAUGAGCCCACCACAAGGAGAUGAGUUGUAAAUUUCCACCAAAAGAAGUUAUAUCAGAAGACUUAGCUUCAAAAAGUUUAAAGUUACUUUCAAGCCAACGCAACUAAAGGAAUGCCCCGACAGCAUACCCCAAAGGACUUCAACUUCACUUGAGAAAGCCAGUCAUCAAUAUGAUUAGAAUUAGAAAGACAAGCGGAAAUCUGAAGGUACUAAGCAGAAAGCUUCUUCCCUUGGAAGCAAAGAAGCAAUGAGGAAAAAGGUGAUAAAUAUUGUCCUCCUUUUCCAUAUACAAACUGCAUAUGAACAGGCAAAAAGGUUAAACCUCAUCAAAUUCUGAAGCCUAUCCUGAUUAUUAAGACUCUUAUAAUCUCAGGACCAUAUAAACACUUCCAUGUUCUUUGCGAUCUGAAAAUUCAAUACACUUUUAAUAAGUCAGGACAUCAAAGAAGUAUUCACUUUAGAAAUAUUCAUAAAUGCCUCCUCCCACUUUGUGAAGAGGGAUAAUGUGAAGAAACUAAUUUUGCAAGGGGGUUCGGGUGAUACCCAGUACAGAAGAGAAGUCCAAUUGUAAAAAAAACAUUUCAUUUAUAAAUGAAAUCUGGGGAAAACCCCAAACACCUAAAGGAACUUAUAGAAGAGAAGGAUGUCCAAUUGUUAACUAAAAUAGAUUAUCUAUAGAGAGAGGGGGGGCUUAGCUUUACACCAAGGAAAAGAAAUAGACAGAACAAAUUCCAUAAAAUAUUUGAACAAGGAAGAAGAAUCAUGAAAAAGCCACUUAUUCCUUUCACCCCACAGAUACCAAAAGAACGCCGCAUGUCAACCAAAGUGUCAUCUUUGUACCACCAAAGGGUUGACCCACCAGAAGAGAAGCCAAUGUGUCCAAAAUGUUAUUAAGACACGUAUAAGACCAUCAAAAAGCCUAAAAAGAAUAUCCCAAAAAUUGGCAGCAAGAGGAAAAUGGAAAAACAAAUGGAUCGAAGAUUCAGCGUAGCAGCAACACAUGUGACACCAAGAAGGAGAAAUAGACAUAUAAAGCAUGCAACGUGGAAGACAAUCAGCAGUAUUGAUGGCACCCCAACUAAGAUCUUAAAGAAAAAUUUUCAUCGUUUUAGGAAAAUCUAUCUUUCCAAAUCACAGAACAAAAAUCAGACAAUAAUGGAUCAACCGUGCCCACUAAGUCAGCUAUAAGGGAUCUAACAGUAAAACCAGAAGUAGGAUCAAGAGGCCACAACCAAGAAUCCAAAUAGCAGUGCAAGCUAACAGCAGCCAGGUGGAGAGAUACUAAGGCCCUUUUGACCAAGUGGAUUCAAAGAUAUUACAAGCAAAAGUUCUCUGUUGGGUGGAAGGUGCUCACAGCUUAUUAUAGCUCCUCACAUUUCCAACCAAAAGCCUAUUCUCAGUGUCAAGUCUUCCUCAUAUAUCCCACGGAAAAGGAUUAUAAGCUACUGCCUAUUGUCAUCUUCCUUUUUCCCAUAUUUCUUUCAAGAUUGGAAUGGGUCAAUACUUUGUUUUCAAUCCACUUGGAGAUCAAAAGGAACUGGAUGGAUCUUUCUUGAAGCUCAUGGAAAAUCAGGAAGAAUGUUAACCAAGUGAGAUGAAAGUAAAUUUUCUUUUAUUGAAGUAUUGAAGGGGCCACUCACUGUCAGUUAAAUGCAGAACAAUGUGCAAUAAGUUGUGUUGGGUAACCAAUAUUUAUGGACCUACUGAUUACAGAGAGAAAAUUCAUUUGGUCAGAGCUGCUCUCCCUCAUUGGUUAUUGUAUAGAAGCUUGGUGUUUGGGAGGGGAUUUUAAUAUGACCAAAUCAAAGGGGAGCGAUUUCCAGCAAGUAGAAUGACUUGUGGCAUGAAUGAGGAAAUUCAAUAAAUUCAUUGAAGAAUGGAAACUCAUUGAAGUUAUUUUACUGAACAGAAAAUUAACAUGGUCAAGAGAAGGAAGAGUAGUUUUGAGAUCAUUGCUUGACAGAUUUUUAGUUACUUUUGACCGGGACAAGGCUUUUGCGAACACACGUGUAACUCGUCAAGUAAGGAUCUCCUCAAACCACUUCCCUUUUUUAUUAGAAGCAGGGGCAUUCGAGUGGGAGCCUUCCCCUUUUCGAUUUUGCAACAGCUGGUUGCUAGACAAGCAUUGCUGCCAAUUUAUUGAAAAUUCAUUAACCACAAGCACUCCUCCGGGCUGGAUGGGCUUUGCCUUAUCAACUCAACUCCAAAACAUUAAGGGUCAACUCAAAUCAUGGCAUUCAGAUUAUGAAAGAAAACAGAAAAGUCAUGAAGAAACCUUAUUAAAAGCCAUCGCACUAGAAGAGAAAAAAUAUGAUCAACCGGAUACGUGCACAGUGGAUCACUUAUUGUUAAUAAGAGAGUGGAUCUUCUAGCUCUUUGUAGAAGGGAGGAAAGAGAUAUAAUCCAGAAAACUAAGUUGACUUGGCUGAAAUUGGGGAACAAAAAUAUGAGUUUCUUCCAUCGUUCUCAUCGGGGGAGAAAAAAAAAAAAAGAAGUCUAAUUCCGAAGCUUGUUAAUAAUCAAGGAAACCCAACCACUUUAUUCUUUGAAAUUGAGCAUUUAAUACUUGAUUUCUACAGCACCCUCUAUGAGAAAUCUCCUCACACCUCCGUUUUUUAUUGGUCUGUAGUUUCAGCCGAUCAAAAUAAAAGGCUUAUUUCAAAAUUUAGUUUGGUGGAGAUCAGGGCAGCAUUAAAAUCAAUGGGAAGAAACAGAGGCUCCAGGUCCGGAUAGCUUCACAGUAGAAUUCUUCAUCAAAUUUUGGGAUCUCCUCAAGGAAAAUCUUUGUAAAUUAUUCAAUGAGUUCUAUGGGACUGGGAAACUAAAUGCAUGUAAAGGAGAAAUUUAUUUGCUUGAUCAAGAAAAAGGAAGAUGCAGUAAAGGUAAUUGAUUUCCGGCCCAUAAGUUUCACUACUUUGCUGUACAAAUUGAUUGCAAAAGUGCUUGCUGAAAGAAUGAAGAUAAUUAUGCCCAGUAUUAGAGCUCUCACUCAAAGUGCCUUUUUGGAUGGCCGCCAAAUUCUGGAUCCUGUACUUAUUGCAAAUAAAGUUGUGGAGUAUUAUAGGUCCAAAAAAAGCAAGGAUGGAUUACAAACUGGACCUUGGAGAGGCAUUUGAUCGAGUUGAUUGGGGUUUCUUGGAAAGAAUUUUGAAGCAGAAAAAUUUCAAUCAUUGAUGGAUCAUCUCUUCGAUCAUGGAUUGUGUUGUUUUUUUUUUAAGAGACACAAGGCAAACUCUAUUAUAGAAAUAAUAUAAAAACUGAAAUAAUAUACCCCCAAACACCUCUGUUUCAAUUUAGGCAUUAACAGUUCUAAUUAUGCACUAUUUUAAGGCUGUUGAAGAAGAAAUAUGUAAGUUUCAAAUUAGAACUUGCCCAGGUACCAACAAGCUACAAAAUCUUUUGGCAUGUCACUUGUUUAAGUCAGAAAAGUAAAAAUCCUCCAUCUCAUGAACUCCCCCAAAUCAAAAGUCAAGCGCUUCAUAGCUCAUUGCAAGACCAACAACUGAAAUGAGUUUCUAAAACCCAUUCUCUUUUUCUAUUACUGCAUUCCACACCUGUCCGACCACGGUGCUGCCAUGAUUGAUCCAAAUUUUCCUAAGUAACUGAAUGCCUUUGCAUUGCAAUUACUCAUCCCCCCAUGUUGAUAUUCCGUCCAUUCCAAUUUCAACUAUUGGGGAUAUUUGUAACCUUCCAACUCGAUCUUGGCUUUUAGAUUCCUUUCUAUUAGCUGAAAAUGAUGCCAAGUUAGGCUUUAAAUUCAUCUCCUCUACUUCUUUCUCACCAACCUUUUGGAGAACAGCAUCCAUGUCUUCAAUAAGAUCAUCUCCGAAAAGCUGUUCAAAUGGCACUUCAGCGUCGUCAAUAACACCAAUCUGCCUUUCCCCUUCCUUCUUUGCUUUCUUCUUAUGGUUUUCAAUCUUGGUAAGUGUCUCCUUGUGUAUUGGCAAAGAUGGCUCCUUAUUGCUUUUUGUUCUUUUCUGCUUUGAAGUCUUCUUUUCCUUAUCAAUAUCAUUGGUACCGAGAUUUAUCUUAUUGUCAAGAGAUGGAAUUACUUUCUCCUCCCUGGUGACCUUAUCCAUCUUACGUUUUUUGCGUUCCAACUUCCUGUCCACAUCAGCACCAUUAGUAUGAUCAAGUUUGCCAUCAGUGCCUUGAACAGACGGGUGUGUUUCAACAUUCCCAUUCAGUUUUCUAUCCUUUUUCUCUUUUUGACGAUCUAGGCUCCUGAUUGGAGUGUCGUCUUCUUUAUCACUCCCAUUAUCAUUCUCAUUCUGAAUGCAUUUAUCAAUUGAUCUCGCAUUCAAUACACGCAAGCCUGGAACCAGUCGACAAAUCUUUUUAUCUAACUUAGCACUUUCAGCAAUAGGAUUCCCUCGAACAUAAAUAUUCCUCAGAUAGCCUAAUGAACUCAAUACCUUUAAAUCUGACCAUCUCAUGAUGACAUUAUUUCCCAAAUCCAAAUUCAACAACUUCUUGUUAUGAGCCAAAGCAUUGGGGAGCAUCCUGAUUUCAUUGUGAGCAAGUCUAAGCUCUUUAAGUUCGAUACAAAACUUGAGGGAUUCAAUAGAUUGAUGUUUGCAGUUAGAAAGGGAUAGCUUUUUCAUUGAAUUCACUUUCAACAAAGAAUCUCCAAUACUGUGGAUUGGAUUUCUAGAAAGAACCAGAGUAUUCAGGUUCUUCAUCUGAUCAAGCUUGCAAAUAGAAGCAAUCUCAUUGUCAUUCAAAAUCAAAGCACAAAAGCCAACAAGGGGUCUAAUUUCGUCCAUUGACCGAAGCUUAUUCUUUCCCGCAUUUAAUACAUUAAGUCUAGAAAGCCCUUCAAUUCCUUUUAAGUUAUCAAGUUUGUUUUGUACAACUGAGAGCCACUUCAAAUUGGUGCAUGACUCCAACCCCUGAAGCGAUGUGAGAUUGUUGAAUGUCAAAUCAAGCUUCUCCAAGUUUUUGAAAAGGGACAAACCAUUUAUAUCAGAAAGAGCCUUUUGAUUGAGCUUGAGAGUAGUGAUGGUGAGUGGGUCUUUGGUUUUGUAAUCAUUGAGAACUUGCUGUAUAUCCAAGCAAGACAUAGUUGUGAAAACCCUAGUUUUCUCUGUUAGGAACAGACACUGCCUCCGAAAACGCCUUCAAACUCCGCUGUCUCUGCUGCUUGUGUGCUGGAUUGAUCAUGGAUUGUGUUAAAAACCCUAAGUAUUCAGAAUUCGUCAAUGGGAGGCCCAGAGGAAGAAUUCAAGCCUCAAGAGGGUUAAAGCAAGGGGAUCCCCUUUCCCUCUUUCUUUUCUUAUGGUUAGCGAAGUGCUUAGUAGUUUCAUCUCAAAUCUACACUUGAACGGUUUGUAUGAAGGUUUCAUGGUAGGAAAGAACAAUGUUCAUGUUCCCCUCCUUCAAUUUGCAGACAACACCUUAAUAUUUUCCAAGUUUGAUGAAGUUAUUCAUGAAAACGUUAAAAAGACGCUUGAAAUAUUUUAGUGUUAUGGGCAAAAGAUAAAUUGGGAAAAGUCAUCUAUAUGCGGAAUUAAUAUUGGGGAAAGUAAGAUCUCCUUAGCGGCAUCCAUGAGGAAUUGCUAAACAUUCCUCAUGCCAAAAAAAUCUCUAAUUCCAUUGAAAGAACCAUGGAGGAACUUCUUUUGAGAAGGGAACAACGGUAGCAAGUUGAACCACCUAGUGAAAUGGGAAUUAGUUUCCAAACCCCAAGGAGAUGGGGGCCUUGGGCUGGACAAGCUGAAAUUUAGAAACAUUACUCUUCUUGCCAAGUGGAGGUGGAGGUUCAUGGCAGAACAAAACUCUCUAUGGUAUAAGGUGGUUUGUAGUAUUCACGGGAGUAGCCUCUUCCAGUGGCACACAAGUGGCAAAGAAAAUUCAAGUUUAAGAAGCCCUUGGAUAAAUAUUUCUAGAUAGUGUGGCAGCUUUUAAAGUUGGAAAGGGUGACAAAAUUUUGUUUUGGUUGGAUCCAUGAAUGGAUAGAAUUGCUUUGAAGACCACACUCCCAAGCUGUACAGAAUUGCCCUUAAUCCAAAAGGCUCGGUUGUAGAACAUUGGAACGCCUCCACUUCCUCUGGGUUUCUUGAUUUCAGAAGAUUGUUAGGAGCUUGAAAUCUCUAAUUUUCAACUUCUCCUGGGCUCCUUGGAAAGGACAAGAUUAUCCAAUAUUGAGAAUAAAAGAAUCUGGUUAAUGGAAACUAAUGGGGUUUUUUCAGUAAAGUCAUUAUCGAAGCACUUGUCUCCUGCCACUCCGAUGGACCUACAGUUGGAAAAAAGCCUUCAGAAAUCUAAAAGCCCGAGGGUAAGUAUAACUCUAUCGAUUAUGUUGUUCAGGAGUUCAAUUUGUGCAUCCAUUAUGCAAAAGAAGUUACCCACUCAUUAUAUUUCGCCACAUGUAUGCCCAUUCUAUCUCAAAUUUCAUGCGGAACUCCAGCACUUGUUUGAAUGUUUAUAUGCUGCCAAGUGUAGGAGUAAACUCUUUCACACCUUUAAUCUCAGCUGAGACCUUGAUAAAGAAUGCAACAAUAAUGUUAGACAGUUACUUCUUGGUCCGGUUAUGAUGAAAAAAUGCCUCCUUGCAAAGUGCAAUACCGUCAAGGAAAUUUUGUUGGAACUGUGGUUUGAGAGAAAUCUGCGAGUCUUCCACAAUAAAGCCUCCUCUUGGUUCAAUAGAUACGAGUGCGCACGUCUGAAUGCCUCUUUGUGAUGCUCUCUACGAAAACAAUUUAAAGACUUCUCUAUGCAAUAUAUCUUACUAAACUGGCAGCCCUUUUAACUUUCCUCCUUGUUGAUGAUUCAGAUUUGGCUCACAGCCUCUGGUGUUUCCAACCGUUUCAGAAUCUUUCUUUGUCUGGCUGUAUUUUUAAUUCCUAGUCUGGUUAGAAGUUGUUUCUUAUGUCCUUUUUGAGUUGUAUUGGUUGUGGUUAGUCCUGCACUUGGACGUUAUUAGUUGUUCUAUCUUUUUAUUAUGUAGGAUAUGAUAAGGAUACUAAGAGGGUGUCAACUUAGCUGGGAUGCUCAAAUGCACAUCCUUAUCCUUGGUUUGAAUGCUCAUCGUAUAAUCCUCUUAUACUAUAAGAUUUAGUUUCAUUGUUCAUUUAUUAAUAAAUGAGGUUGUUUCCUUUUCAGAAAAAAUCUAAAGGAUCAACUUGAUCCAAUCUCUUUAAAUCAUAUCGACGAGAGUAAUGAAUGGUUGGUCGAAACAUUGGAUGAAGAAAAUGAUGAAGCUGAAGUUGACAAUGAGCUAGUUUUUUAUGACAACGACCUCACAUGGGGAGAUGUAGCUCGUGCUAGCGGCGUUAGAGAACCCCUCAUGUACACUAGAUCAAAAGGAAAGUCAACUACCUCUCCCUCCACUUCUAGAGUUCAAAAGCAAGCACCAACUAUACAAGUAGUUAGUAAUGAAGAUGAGGACGACGAUGAAGAGGAAUUAGACAUCAAGGAGAACAAUGGCCGAGGAGCAAUGGACGAAACCAUAGAGUUAGAUGAAUUAGACAUCAAGGAGAACAAUGGCCGAGGAGCAAUGGACGAAACCAUAGAGUUAGAUGGGGAUGUUGAUGAAUUUGAUAUUUGAUGGUGUUUUAAACUUGUACUUAUAGAGUUCUGUUCAUUUUUAUUUUUUAUUUUUUGAAAUGGAGACAAACUUCUUUAUUAAAUAGAACUCAAACUGAAAGUACAAGAGAAUUAUACAAUCGAUUUUGUUCAUUUUUCUUGAUUACAGAACUAUUAUUAAUCUUUGAGGCUUUGACAUUUGUCUAUAAACUUAUGUUCUACCUCAUAUAUUAUUUAUUUAUUUAUUCAUUCAUUGCACCUCGCUUCGCUCAGGCAUUGCCUUUAUGUCGCCUCUCACCUUGAGGUGCCCCUUGCGCUUUGAAAACACUGCUGAGAGAGAGCAGUUUCAUGUUUUUUUGAAACGGAGACAAAACUUCUUUAUUAAUAAGAACCCUAAGUACAAGAAAAUUAUACAAAGAGAGCAAUAAAGAAGAAAUAGAAAGGGGACAUAUCAACUAGGUCGACACCCCCAUAGCGUCAAUCAUCAUAUCCCGAAAAAGUGAUGAUAGACCACCAAUUAUUUUACAAUAUAGCUGGAGGAAAAAGGAGGCAGUUGCACGUGAACAAGAGAAGGGAAAUGGAGAAAGAAGUGGAAACCACCUUGGUGGGGACCAUGGUUAAUUACAUGGGAGAGAGUUAAAAGGGAAAGAAGGAAGGGAAGAGAGGGGUGGUUAGUCAGUUUCUGGAAGUGGAGGGCUGUAAUUUCCUGGAGAGCAGGGAAUGCAGAAAGUGUUCAGUUUCUGUAGUCUGUAGCAAGUUAUUUCCAUUAUCGUGAACUCCUUUACUGUUUUGUUGUUUUAUGUUGAACUUUGUAUUAGUUCUUGUGUUGUACUUUGUUUUCAAGACUCUGUGUUAGUUCUGUUUUCUGUAAAAGUUUGGCUGAUAAAUAAACUAGUAGAACACACUACUUGGUGUUCUAUCGAGUAAAUAUCAAAGCAAAACAAAACAAACAAACAGCCAAUUACCAGGUCCAGAAAAAAAAACAGAAAAUUAAAAGAAACCCCAAAAAACAAUUACAAUCUCAAAAUAAAAUUAAACAAGGUCAAGACUUCAAAGCUUCAAACUUCAGACAGUAAGAACUGCAAAUGGAGAGAAAAUGAUCCGGCAAUGGUUAGGCUCGAUUAAGAAAGGCAUUCCAAUUGAGGUAAAUAUCUUGAAUGGAAAAAUUAGCAGACUCAUUUUUUAAUGAACACCAAGCUGCAACACUAAGAUCUACUGCACACAUAAUUUCUGCUCUUUGACUUUGCUUUAUCAUGGAAGAAAUGUUGAUUCCACUCAAACCAUAAUUCUGAAAAUAAAGCUUUUAACAAAGUUAUCCAAAUGAUGCGAGAUUUUUGGGAAAAAACAGACUCGACAGCAGCUGAACCACAUUAGCGCCUAGAGAGCGAUCAAAAGUCCAAACUAAAUUGAACAAGGACAAAAUCCUUUCCUAGCCACAAUAAGAGACGGGACAAAACAAAAAAAAAUGUGAUAAAGGGUCUCACUAGAAAGAAAAUCCUUUCCCAGCCAAGAAAAUGUGACAAGAAUUCCCCCAGAUGGCGCAACAGAUGCCACAAAUUCUAGCCAAUAACCUUGGACCUCCACAGUGAUUUUAUGAAAACAGAAUUCAAACUAUCUUUCUUAGACUCUUGAAUCAUGAACACAUCUGGAUUGCAGAUUAUGAUGAAUUUUUUAGUGCUGCACAUUAAGAGGAAUCAUUUAUGCCCCUAGUGACCCAUGAGACAAUCUUCAUUAUGGCGGAGAGAAGGAUAGGGAUGGCUGCACUUCUAAAUUAGACCACAAUAAUUCCACAAUCACUGACUAUUGACAUCAACUCUUUAGGCAAAUCUGGAUGAAAAUUAUUUGUGACAAAACCCUCCUCAUUAAACAAAACAUUUAAGUCCGUCCCUUCAAUUUUUUAAUCUAAUUUAGGGUCAACUUCACUAAGAGCAACUUAUUCUUCACUACUAACACUGAUAGGUGAGAAAAUUUUCGGCUGGUCUUUAGGAGUUAAUUCAGCUUUGCAUGGGGAGCCUUGCUGACAAGAUGUUUUUGCAGUGGAGGUGGAGGAAUUUGAAAUGUUGAGACACUUUGAAGGAGAAGUGCUAUUUACUGACCUGUAAAAACUCUCAGGGACCUGGAUUUUAAAGCUGUAAACUUCCAAAAGAUCUGGGUUAUUGGCAGAAACUGAAUGCUUGAUGGUGUUAUUCCGAAAACAGUCCAAAGGGGGGAUUUUAAGGUCACAAACCCCAUUUAAUUCAGAUUUUAGCAAGGCAGCCCACACAUUGUUGAAGGAGGUUUGCGCGAUAUAGUGCUUAAGAAUUUUUGGAAUAUGUGAGGAAUUGCUGUCUUUGGCACACUUGGAACGAUUGAAAAUACCCACUUUUGAAGAAAGUUGGCCCCUGUUCGAACAAAAAGAAAAGAAUCAGACGUUUUGUAACGUUUUUUUGCAAUAAGUCUGAUGGGUUUUCCUCCAAAAUGCUUGGGCUAAAUUCGUUAUAACUCAAAGAUUUAUUGAAGUGGGCCCCUAUUCUUUUAUUCCUUUCAUUUAAAGACUCAAAAGAGGACUCUUUGGCUACUGGAAUAUUAAAAACAGAAACAUUUUGUAACGCUUUUUUGCAAUAAAUUUGCUAAGGUCCUCCGAAAUUCUUGGGCUAAAAUCGUUAUAACUCAAAGAUUUACUGAAGUGGGCCCCUUUUCCUUUAUUCCUUUCAUUUAAAGAUUAAAAGAGGACUCUUUAGCUCUGACGGGAAUAUUAUGGUUUAGGAAUUCAUAAUCUCCAAAAUGAAGAUAUAUAUUUCCCCUCCUUAGAUCAGUGACUUCAAUCGUGGAUGGCACAAAACCACAAGAAUUCUUCUUAACUUGAAUCCGAACUUCACUAACAUUAAUUAAAUUUAGACUUUCGGAGGCUAUAUCUAAGAGACCUCCAAAAUGAUCCCCAAUGACCUCAAAGGUACUCCUACACCAAUAAUCCCAGGGAAGUUUUUUAAUUUUUAGCCAACCGCCAUUCCCUUUUUGGACGAGUGGCCGGCUGUGUUUAAAUUUAAACCAGCUUUCAAAUUUGAGAAAAUUCCCCCAGGCUUGCCAUUUUCCUUCCUCAUGGAUGAGAUCUAAAAUUGAUCCUCGGUCAAUGCUAAUGAGGGCAUUCUCAUCGUAUAAAGGAUUUGUAACAAUAUUUUAUUGGAAAAAAGCUUCCAACCUUACGGAUCAGUUUCCAGUCAUCUGAGGCAAAUAACUUUGUUAUAGUCCAUAAAUUUUCAAAAUUGACUUUCACAACUUCAAGAUUCUUAAUCAGCAAAUCCUUCUGUUUUGAAGGGGGAAGAUGGACUAACUUUUGAGCCUUGCUUUUUUUACUAGGAGUCUGGUCAAUUACCUUAAAUAUAGGUCUUGGAACAGGGGAACUGGAAAGACUUGAUUUUGCCAAUUCAACAUAACUUAGUUUCCUAUUCAAAUUCGAAGGAGGAAUCUUGAGGGAAUUAUUAGAAAACCAUCUAGCAUAAUCCAGUUUUUCGACAAACUUAUCUAGCAUUGAGCAAAACAACUUCCAGUCUUGCUUCUCACUACCUAAGCACACUCUGAUAUUGAAGAGCCCCCUGAAUAUGGCCAAUGAUCACAGCUCAGUAUCCAUUCCAACUUAGCUUGAAACUUUGAAAUUCUCAAUCUGCCUUUGUCGACAUCCCCAAAUUUCCUGAAGUGUCAACCUACCGGAAAAUGAUAAGAUCAGUUAAUGCUGACCAGAUCCAUCUAAGUUGGCAAACGGAUAGAGAGAUGCUUCUGCCGGCUUCUACAUCUUCAAUGAAGCAACAAUCUCCUUCAUGUCAAAUGCAAUAGUGUGACUGGUCAAUUUUCCAGCUAACCACCUCCAUGGUGAUCUCUGAGACUUAACAGAGAGGACUGCUUAAAAAACCUGGCUGUCGGAGAGGGGAGAUCGGAAGGAGUGGGGUGGAGGGAGGGGAGAGGAGAGGAGGAGAGAGAGAACUUAGAGCAGUUUUAUGUUUAUUUAAUGAACGUACAUAAAAGAGAGAAGUUUGGAUUUCUCAUAUGUCUUAAAUCUCCAAGUUCAAUUAAGGUUGUACUACUUGAAUUCUGGCUUAUCGUUGGGAGUCCCGAUGUGCAGUAGUACACAUCAUGCUUCGACAAUGGAUUUUUGAUACUUUGCCCCCAAUACAAUCUUGUUGUCACCAAACAAGUUCCUUGAAGUACCCAGUAUAACAUAUCAUGACCAUGCUUCCAUAAUUAAAAAGAUAAGACAACCAAAGUACUCUUAAAUCGAAGAAAAACAUUGCUGCAAAAACAAGUAUACCUCCACAAGUUUCUCAACUUUUGUAAAAUGACGACCAAAGGAGGAGUAGCGCAUGCCAUACAGAAAUGGUGCAAGAUAUACUCUGAGUUUGCUCUACAGUAAAGGAAUUCACAAAGUCAGUUAAAAGUGAUUGUUCAAAGAAAACAAAGAAUUCAACGAUGCUAACACAUUUAAUUCAAAUACACAAAAAUUCAUUGAAGACCAAGAAAAAAGAACAAGACUUACAUUGAGAAAAAAAAUAAUUAUAUAAGGAAAGACCAAAAAAAUCAAAGCUCACACAAGUGAAUCCAAUUAAAGAAAGAAACUCCAGUCAAAUAAAUUACAACCUAGAGGACAGAUGAAGAAGAAACUCCUCAAUCAUCUCCGUGAUCUCUGUGUCUAAUGUUUUUCAAUGCUCAAGGCAUAAUAAAGCACAAUAGUCUUUUAGGGCUUAAGUGCAAGGCGGAAAAAAAAUGUGGGUUUUUUUUUUAAGGUGCAGUCUCUCUAUAUAUAAUACAAGAUAAUAUAAAAAUACAAGAUAAAAAAGAGGAUAGUUGAAUUGGAAUAUAAAAGAAAAAAAAUAAAAGUAACCAUAGGAAAAAAAAAUAUUCCAUUUAGGCCAAGCAAAUUUUAUUAUUUAUAAUUAAUAUGGAAGGAAAAAACCCUAAUAAUUACUUUUUUAAAAUAAUGAAAAAAAAACCCCAAUGCCUAGGACAUUGGGCCGUAGGGCUUCACUGAAAGCACCACAUCUGAUGCACUUGUGUGCAAGGCGAGGCACUAUGCAUGCGCCUAGGAGGCUUUCUAAAACACAGCAUGUGUCUAGCAAAAGGAAAGUCAAACACCUCAUAGAAACAACUCCAAACUAACCAAACAAAGUCAUGAUUCAAAAAGAUAUGAUUGAAGUCUUUUUUCUGCCCACCAAUACAGAAUGUGAAAAAGCAGCCCUACAAAAAGGAUCAUCUUUCUAAAAACCAAUCUAAUCUGUAAAAGUCUUCCUCUUUUCAGCCUCCUCAUAGUGUUCUUCCUCCUAUGAUCUCGAGUUUGUCUUGGUGCAAGUUUUUGGUCGCCUUUUAUUUAGAAGGAUGUUUAGUCUUGUAUUUGUAUUUGUAUUUCCCUGUACUUCUUUUGUGUUUGUUUUGCCUUUAGCCAUUACUCCUUUGUUACGGGUUUUAGCUUGGUUGGAUAUGAUGAGGGUGUUAAGGGGGUGUCAACCUAGUUGAGAUGUCCAGGUGCACCCCCGAUCCAUGCUUACAUGCUCAUUGUAUAAUUCUUUUGUAUUAUGAGCUUUUGUCUCAUUAUUAUUAUAUUAAUAUUAAUAAAGAGGCUGUCUCCUUUUUAAAAGAAAUAUCUGUAGAAGUCUUCCAUGAUUGACUUACCACAAACAGAAGUACUAAGUCUUCUAGAAAAAUUUUACAAAAUCUCUAAAAGAGGGAACUACAUUCUUAAAAUUUUCACAAAAGCUCCAAAAGAGGGAACUAUAAGAAAUACUUUUAGAAGGAUUCAAGCUCCAAAAGAGAAACAAUCCUUCUCCUUCGUAUUAAUAUCAAAUGUCUCGUUCGAGGAUACAAGAGCCACUAUGUCAGUUGCUUCUCUAUCAAACAACAAAUGACAGAAUCCCAACAAUAUCCUAGAGCUACUAAAACGAGAAAAGGCAUCUGCCACCAAAUGAUUCAGCAUAAGGAAAAAGAUGUAAAUAGGAAAAUAGAGAGCAGGGGCCGAAUGUCUAAGAUGAAAGCACAAAAUAGUUCAAAACUUCGAAAACACAAAAUAUUAGUCAGUAUAAGACCAUGCUUUGUCAAAAAUUUCGUCAAAGCAGCUGAGCAAAUAAAAGCCUAAGAAAUUUCUUUAGAACAGUGCAAUAAGAAAUUGUAAGCACCUUCCACUUAAAUAUGUGGUUAAGAACUUCAGGCUCACAAACAGCUUCUGCAUCCUCAAUGCAACAUCCUUCCUCAAGCUUGCGCAGAGCAGCUCGAACAGCCUAACAACCAAAACAGUAGACCAUUAAGGGAUAAGAAACCACGAGAUCACUUUAAGGAUACAAAAGUUAAUAAUUUUCUUACCACAACUGACCCUUCCAACUUCCCCAUCUUAAUUGUCUUGUCCACUACAUGUUUUAAAGAAUAUGCAUGAGUAGAUGGGACUUUGUGCUUCUUAAUUACGUCUUCCAAAGUAAUUGACGAUGCAACAUUUUUCAUCAUGUCCAUUAACCUAGGUUAAAAGAAAGAAUAUUUUAGAAACAAAUCCACUUUACCAAACAUGCAAGCGUGCACUUUAGGGAAGUUUAUAACUGUUGUCAUUCCUUAAUUCAUUUUUUAAGGGUGAGGGCAUCAAAACCAAAUGUGAAGUACAAAUGGCAGUUACCUCCUCUCCGAAUUGGCAUCUAAUAGGAGCAUCCCACUUCUAUCCUCCUUGUAAAUCUUACUUGGAUCAAAUCUCUUGGUUGGUAUGGCAGACUUGCCAACUAAGGAGGAUUUUUUCACUUUGAUCGUCUUAUCAAUGUCCAUGAGGACAGAUUCUCCUUUUUUAUUCAAACAGUUUCUUGAAAUGUUACCAAUUUCACAUUUUCAGACUCAGAACUCCACAAUGAUUUCGCAGUCACUUUACCAAGAAGCUUCCCAUCAGAUGAGGACCUCUCAAAUGAUUUGGAUACUUUUGCAGCAGAUUUUCCCUGAAGGUCAUCUGGCAUAGAUCCCUUCUUUGAUACAACAUUCUCCCUACUCCCACGAAAAACUAUCGUCUUCCCUCGUCUUGUAUCACUGAUAGGAAGUUUCCUUUUCUGAAUGGGAAGCCUACUCUCUUCAAGACCAGGAAAUUUUAUAUGGUCUCUAGCAGGAGUCUCAAUUUCUUCAUCAAUCUCGUGGUCCCUGGUCAAAUUAAAUGAAAAAAAAACAUUAAUAGGCCAAUACUGAUUAAAGGAAAUAGUAGUAACAGCUGACACAGCAAUCUUACAAGCAAUAUAUCAAAAUGCGAUUAGGUAAUAGCUUUUCCCAUGCCCUGGUCGGGGUUUCACCAUCCUCAGAACCUUCAAAAGUGAUUUUCCUAACAAAAACAAUGCAUUCUUUAACCAAUUAAGCACCAGAACUUAAAAAAUUACACUCUGAUUCACUAUAUAGAAAUUCAAAGGAUACCUUGGUAAGCAUUUCCUGUGGUAUGAUUUUGGACACCGUCGACAAACAGCAAACUGUAGUUCCCAUAUUUUCUUAUUUUCGCCGAGCGCACAAACAGAGCACUUAUGCACAGGGCAUGAGAAAGAUUCUCCAGAUGCAAUCUUCUUCUCAAGGUCUCCAGCGGCAACUUUAUUCUCCGGAUGAAGCAAUCUUGAAAUACAUUUAGGAUGAUAAAAAUAACCACAAGUUGCAUUUACGCAUUGGAAGACCUAAAGAGCAAUAGUAACUCAUAUUAGGUAAUAAUCAGAGACUGAUGUCUAACAUCAUAAGUAAAUCUCUUUUUCUAAUAAGAAAAGCAUAUGUAUAUUCAACAAAAAAAGCCAAGAAGGACCAUCUAAGAGGAAAGGGUUGAGGAAACCCCCACCCACAAAACUAAUAAAGAAGAGCCUAGCAAUUAUUAAUACUCAUUAAAAGAUCUAAUUACAAAGGGAGAUAUGAGCUAUUGGCAAAAUUAACAAUGUGUUAGAAAGUUGCUAACAAGAACAAGAUAUUAAUUUAUUAUAAUGAACUAUAAGAAAAUACAAGAUAAACCCAAGUAUAAGGCACUUGGAACCUCCCUCUUGAGUACUCUCACCCAAGCCCUAAAUCACUCCACAUAAUAACCUCUCUCUCUCACUUACCCUCCCUCCAUUUAUAACAAGAUGUAACCACCCUAGUAACCACACAUAAUAGCUACUAGUAACCACACUUACACAAUAACUACUAGUAACUUCCUAAGUAUCUAAUUACCCUUAUACCCCUAACCCUAUACUAAUCUAAUUACCCUUAUACAAUAUAAACCCAUGUAUACAAAUGUAGGUAUCUAACACAAUGCUAAUAAAUAAAUUACAUUAAAACUACAAAGAUUCCAAACCUACAAACAAGAAACUAGCAAAAAAAGUCAAACAACUCAAACCCAAUCAAAGGGUCGACAAAAUUAUGAACCAAAAGAUUGUGAAAAAACUCUAGUGUAAAUGUAAAGAUGGAAAGAUAUUAGGGCUCACCUAAGUUCAUUAUGAUUAUAAUAAACAAAAACAAAUUAAUAAAACAAAAAAAAAAAGGGAGCCAAUGUCUAUAUUGCGCAGGAUUCAUAUAGUAAAUAUUCAUAUAAUACGUGAAGGAUAGCCAUUUUAGUAGUGAAGUGUAUGGUCAAUCGAUUUUAUACCUACAAUGAGUUAUUUUUAGAGGAGUUUCAUUGAAUCUUUAACAACUUUCCAAAUAUAAGCAGAGUACAAAUAAACUUGACUUUGUAUUACUCUCUUUGUAUAACUCUCUUGUACUUUGAGUGCAUAUUAAUAAAAAAGAUUUGUCUCCGUUUCAAAAUAAAUAAAUAAACUUGACUUUGAGGGUGAGUAUUUUUUGUUUAUAUGAUGAUAAAACCAAUUUCAAUGAGGAAAAAAAAAGAGAGAAUAGGAGGCUAACCAAAAGCCAGCCCACUAAAAGGAAGGGAACCCUCUAGAAAAAGGGACCCAACUAUGCAAAAUAACACCUAUAGAAUAAUUACAAAAUUCCUUCGAAUUCAAGGCCCACAAAGAAACAUGAUAACGUACAAGGGACCAAAUCUCACUGGGGACCCUCUCCCCACCCCUAAAAACCCCAUUGUUCUGCUCACCCCACACCACCCAUAAAAUAGAACACACCCCCAUGACCCAAAGGAAGUGCCCUUCUCACUGGUCAGGGUUGAGAAGGAACUCCUCAAGCAACGCACACACAUCUCUAUGUCAAGUCCCCCUAACGCCAAAUGUCUAAAACAAAGAGUUCCAAACCAAGCUGGAAAACUCACAAUGCCCAGAAUGUGGUCCAGAUCUCCCUCCCUUUUCUACAAAGAAUGCAACAAGAAAGGACCUACAAGCGAGAGCAUCUUCCUCUUAAGCCUAUCCAUCCUGUUUUUUUUUCUUUUUACGGUCGUGUAAAACUUGCCAACUAAAGAACUUAACUUUCCUAGGAAUCUCAAUCCUCCACAGCACAAGAAAACAGAUAGACCUAGGGGAGAACCACUUCACCCACGUCUAAACGAGUGGCCCUCAAGUACCUCUAUUGUUUCCCUAUAGGAAAAAGCACAACAGAACCCAAAAGAGAGGGAAUACGAGCUCCUAGACCACACGAGAAUAUCAGCAACAAAACAGUGUUUGUGAUCAAGAAAAUGAUACGAAAGAGGGAAUAAGAAACAGAGAGGUCUCCCCCCAUCCAAUGGUCUUCCCAAAAGUAAGUAUCUCUCCCCCAUCCAAUGGUCUUCCCAAAAGGAAGUAUCUCUCCCCUUCCCCACCACACAAUGAAUGAAUUGAACAAAAGCAAGGAGAUCUUUCUAGAAAAUCUACGAGAAUUCUUCGAACAAAAGAUAAUUCAGUAUUUGUCCAUACAUGAGGGGAAGACUUCCACUUAUAGAGUUUUAAUACAAGUGGUGGUAAAAAAUGGAAUUAACCUAAGACUAUGACCCAGCUAACCACAUUCUUCUUACAUCACCACUUUCCCCUUCUCCCUCCUGAUUCAUUGAUGCAAUCAAGCUCUCUUUCAACCCUAACAUCAUUUCCAAUUAAAUCAACUCAGUUGACAUCAAUUUCAUGAGGAUCGAGCUCGUGCCAUUUCUUCGAACUCAAAGAAAAGCCUCAUGGGUUGGCAAACCACCAUCUGAAGUGAUUCUUUAGACUCUAUCACUUUUGAGUUGGUAGCAAAAACAUAUUCAGGGGAAUUGAUGUAGAGUGUAGAAUAAUGGGGGCCAAGGCUUCUGCUGAUUAUUCAAGUCAAGAUAUUAGUUUAAACUGGAGUGCUCUCAUCUCCAUGUAAUUGUUGAUGCAACCGUGGAUAAGAUGGCUCUCUUCCUCUACUACACUUCAUAGUCUUGUUUUGCUAUUUUUGAAUAUUCUUGGCGAUGGAACAAAGAUCAAGAACUUUUCUAUUGAUGUAGUGAGAAGAAACAACAAAUGUUCAAAUGAAACAGAAAAUCUGGAAGUUGCUAAAAGGUAAGUUCUCUUUGUUAUCCCUCCUCCCCCCUCCCUCCUGCUCCCUUUUCGGUUCUCUCUUUAUCCAGUAGCCUCACAACGACUACUUUUCAGUCUAACAACGUUAGCCUCCUGGUGAAGUCUACCCACAGACCAAUCACUAAAGGUCUGGUGGUUGAGUUUCGUUUUAAUUGCACAGGGAAGCUUAGAAGUGAGACUGCAAUGGAAGUGGUAAGUUACGAAGUUCUUCAAUCGUAUUAUCGCAUUUGGUCAGAAGACGAUAGCUUCCUUGUCAAAGAUGUGAGCUGGUGCCUGAAAGCAUUAUCAGUGUUAUUAAGAGGCCCAGCAGAUUGUUUCUUCCAGAAAUGGGGGAGUUAAACCAAGGAAGGUUGAAGUUGUCAAAGUUCAAGGCAAAAAAGGGUUGGGUGUUAUGUUGUGUGACCUAUGGCCAUUUUCAGGUGGACACUCCUUCAUUCGAGUGUGUUAGGGAGAAGACAAACAGGGGUGGGUGGCAUUUCACAAAAUGCUGGAGAAUUUCCUUUUCAAAACCAGAGUAUAUAAGUUGGUAUUCACAUAAAAUUGCCACAUCUUUUAAUCCAGCCCAGGCUAAGAGUACAAGCUUCACAGAUAAAGUUAAAUCGGAUGGUAACUUAACCCAUGAUGAAAAAAAAAAAAGAGAGUGCCAUUAAAGUUGAUUAUCAGGCUGUGACCAAAGAUGAAGGAGAAAGCUCUCAAGUUUCCUCUAUUUUGAAGAGAGCAAAACAGAGUCAGGGGGUGACAAAUAACUCGGAAGUUAUUCAAACAAAGUUUGAAAAUGAUGUAAGAAGACUAAGAGUUAAUUGGGUAAUUAGGUAAUAUUCUAGAUUAAUUCCCUUUUUAGCCCCAUUUGUAAUAGAAGUCUUCUCCUCUUGUAUGAAGCACAUUAUUCAUUCUAAUAAAAGAUUCUCAAUUUGUUCUUGGAGGAUUUCUCCUUGAGAUUACUUAGGCUACAUCAGAAUAGUUGUGGAUAGUUACAAUACUCUUUGCGUUGAUUAUUGGAGAGAAAUUCGAAAACUGCUGGAAAUCUUUUUCCAAACAAGAAUUAUCAUCAACCCACUAUUGGAUGAAAAUGCUCUUAUUAGUUUGGAUCAAGGCCUGGUUGAAGAUUUCAUCAAUGAACCUGAGAGAUGGCAGGAGAUGGGGCCAUUUCACCUAAAGUUCGAAAAAUGGGAUAGAUUAAAAAACAGCCAGCCGUUGGUAAUGAAAGGCUGCAGCAGAUGGUUAAGAAUUGGAAACCUUCCUCUGGACUACUAGUGUAGAAAAACCUUCGAAGCCACCAGAGAGAAUUUUGAGGGUUUAGAAAGCAUUGCCACAGAAACGCUUAAUCUAACCAAUUGCAACGAAGCAAGAAUUCAAGUUAAACCGAAUUUAUGUGGUAUUAUACCUACUACCACUGAAAUUACAGACUUUAAUAGAAGUAAUUUUUUCUUGAAUUUUGAUGAUAUUGAGCCUAUGGAUCCCCCAUGUAUUUUCAAGGGAAGUCUUAUUCUUAAGGAUUUUCAAAAACCCUAUUGAUUAACUAAGGGUUAGGCAAGCUUUGGAAGAUGAAGAUGUUAAUGUUUUGUUCUUCCCUCAAGAACUUGAUGUGUUUAAAUCCACUAAAACAGCUCCCUCCUUUUCAAGAAAUCCAUUAGAAGCUUUGAAUCAAAUUCAUGUUUCCUCACCGGCGCCGGAGGCCGACAAUCUGAUUGGAAAUGAAAUAUGUCCGUUAGAAAUUAAUAGGCUGUAUCCAAGGAAGAGAGAGAAUUCAGCAGAAGAUAUCUAUGCAUUUAAUUCAUUGGGCUUUGGUCUAACCUCAAAUGGUGGAAAGCUCAAAUGGGGCUACUUUCCAGCCUAGUAUGAACACGAAAAAAGCUUUAACAAGGAAAGAGAAUGUGAAUGGAAAUGAUUCUCUGCAAAGUAAUUGUUCUGCUUCCAUCCGUAAGGGCACGAAAAAGAAAUUUAAAAGAGAGCCUGUUGUAGUUCCUCCGUUAUUCCUCCCAAAAGACAGCUCAGCAGCAUUAACUAAUCACUCAAGAACCCUUCCACCUUCCAGCCGUGUUCUCAUAUCUUCCUCUGCCUUGGAAUCCAACUCUUCCUUGCCUUUUUCCAACCAAUCAAACAGUACAGUGAAUAUAGCAUUCCAAUUGUCCAAGGAUAACUCGAAUAAUGAUCUUCUUCAGUCUCCAUCUCACAAUACGAGUGAGUUCGAAAUACCUCAGAAAUUUCCGGCUAACAUUUGCUUGCAUCAACGAAUGAAGAGAAACAAGAAGUGCAAGAUUCCUAAAAUGUCUCAAGGAAGUUCUUAUUUGGUUAAGCCUUUCCGAAAACACUUGACCAAGAAAAGGACUUCUUUUAGCAAUUCUUGGACAAAAAUCACAAACCCUGACUUGCUUGAGGCUGUUGUGUCAAGAUCCAAGUCCCUGGCCUAAAUCAAAACAGGUCAGCUUCUUUACCUUUUUUGAAUAAACCUGGUUCCCAUUUCGGAUGUAAUUCCCAAGAGUCUUUCAAUCCUCCUUCUGUGCGAGGAUUACAUAGCAAUUUUCAGACUUCUCAUAAAGGUACGAAAGACUUUGAUGAAGAGUCAUUGGCAAGUGUAAGCAGUGAAGAACAGGAAAGAGGACAAUGAGGAGAUAGAAAUUACAAUAAAAUGCCAGUUGAUAUGAACAAGGCUUUAAGUAUUUUAUUCCAAUCUGAAGAGGUUCAAUUACUUUCCAUUAAGAAAAGCUUUCCUUUACUCCACUGUAAAAGAAAAAUACAUACCUAAAAAUUGCAUUCCAUAGUGGAUACCUGUGAAAUCUCUUUAGCCUAAUCCAAAGGAAAACAGGUCAUUCGGUGGAUAUCCUCAGGGUUGAAAAUUGAAGAUUAGCUAUUGAAUUGCAUGAUGAUUUGGACAAAAACAUGGUGGCUGAUUCUUAGAAGUUUUCAAAAGAAAUUAGUCCAGACAUACUACUAAUUCAAGAUUCUAGAAUGGACAGCUUCGUUAAAGAAGUCAUAGAAAGCAUAUAGAGCUCAAAAGAUGUCGGCCAGAUUUUAGUUGGAAGCUUUAAAGAUUUUCAGGGACUUUCUUACAAGGUGGGUUGAAGGUUUUUUCAGAAAACUGACAUUGCUAAAGCUGACUUCUCUUUGAUAACUGGAGUAAUGAGUUGAAGGCAGUGCUGGCAAGUUUAUGUGGAUUGGAAGAAGACUACUUCCAGAUCCUCUGGACUUUGGAUUGUGUUGGCAAGUUAGCUUUGAGGCAGCUGUUUGCAUCUUCUUGGCUUUCAUUUUCUCCUAUCAUCUUGAAGAUUUGGAUGUGCAGUACUUUUUAUACGAGUGGAGUGGGCUAAUUUUGAGAGAGUGUUUAAGUAUUGCUUUUUACUUAGCUUUCUACUGAUGUACUGUAUUGUGUGGCUUUGAUUAGCUCGUUUAUUUUCUGAUUCGGACUCGUAUUUAAGUUUCCAUCAUAUUAUUUUGCCCGAUUAUAGUCUUUGUUUAUGUUUUAGCUUGUUUUUUCCCUUAGUUCUUUUGGUUUUGGUAUAAUACUCUUGUACUUUGAGCUUUAGUCUCAUUAUCCUUCAUAAAGAGGCUUAUUUUCGUUUCAAAAAAAAAAUAUCUUGGCAAUGAUUGUAAUUUUUAAGUUAUUAAGUUAUUUGCAAGUUUCUUUUCAAGGUGUUGAUGGUACUAAUGGGGUGUCAACCUAGUUGAGAUGCCCGGGUGCACCUCCUGAUCCACAGCUUUAUGCUUGUUGUUUCCAUUGUACUUUGAGCAUAGUCUCAUAUCAUUAUUUUAAUGAAAAAGCUUGUUUCUUGUCAAAAAAGGGUGCUGGUGCUGGUGCUGGUGGUUUCAAAGGGUACAUAAUGGUGUACAAGUUCGAUGCCCUCUCACUGAUGAAGGCAAGGCGAGGGCUUUUUUUCUCAAAGAAGAAAGGAGUGGGGAGUGGGUGGUGGUUUUUUUUUGCUUAUGAAGCAUGAAUACUCCAUGUGAAGCAAAAAAUCGUAUCAAAUACGUAUCAAAUAUCAAUACUCCUAAAUACUUCCCAUAUACAUAUCGGAUAAGUGAUUUGACAUAUUUGCUUUUAAUAAAAAACAAAUAUCAAAUGCACUUCUGAAGUGGACACGUUGGACCUUCUAAAAAGAAGGCAUCUAAUCUUUCCCAAUCCAAACUAGGUAGCAUAUUUAAAAAGCCCAUUGCCCCCACCAAAACUAAAAGGAAAAAUGAUGUAAUUCAAGUUGGAUUGAUUUUUCAAAAAGAAUUCUCUGCCAUAUUUCGGGCUAGGAGACUGUUAUAUAUUGAUAUCUCAAGGUUAGUUACAAGUUAGUUACAAGGUUUUUUUAUUUAGUUAGUUACAAGACUGUUUUAGGAAAGUUAGUUACAGCUGUAUUUCUAAUUAGUUAGGGAUUUUUACUAACUAACUAGCUAUAGUUUACAUCAUUCCACCCCCCUAAGGAUGGACUCGUCCCAGAGUCCAUCAGUCAGCAAGCCUGAAACACGAUCUGGUGCAUGGUAUGGCUUUAGGUCAGCAACAUUGAAGACUGGGUGUAUGUGUAUGUCUUGUGGUAGAUCGAUCUUGAAGGCAUUAUCUCCGUAUUUCUCUAAUAUAGGGAAUGGCCCAAUUUGUCUGUCUUUCAGCUUGUUGUAGGUGCCAGUAGGAAAUCUGCUCUUUUCAGGUGUACCAUUACUAGGUCUCCUUUAUUGAAGUGGGCUUGUCUUCUUUUUUUAUCUGCUGCCUUUUUGUAGGAGUCUGUUGUCUGUAUAAGAUGAUCAUGGACUUCCUUGUGUAGUUUUUUGAUAUUUUCUGCCAUGCAUUCUGCUUCGUUGUUGAGAUCCACGGUUGUGGGGAGUGUAGUGAGAUCAAAGGUUAAUCGUGGUAGUUUGGUAUAAACUACUUCGAAGGGGGACUUUCCUGUUGAUCUGUUCUUCAUAUUAUUGAAGGCGAAUUCAGCUUGAGCUAAUGCUAGAUCCCAUUGUUUUGGUUUUGACCCGCUAAGGCAGCGUAGCAGAUUACCGAGGGUCCUGUUUGUUACUUCAGUUUGUCCAUCUGUCUGUGGGUGGGCUGUGGUGCUGAAUUUCAGUGUUGUGUCAAACUUCUUCCACAGUGUUCGCCAAAAGUGACUCAGGAACUUGACAUCUCUGUCUAAUACUAUGCUUUUAGGUACUCCAUGUAGUCGUACUACUUCUUUAAAGAAGAGGUUGGCUAUGUAGAUUGCAUCAUUUGUCUUUUUGCAUGCUACGAAAUGUGUCAUUUUGCUGAAUCUGUCCACCAUGACCAUUAUUGAGUCAAAUUGUCUUUGUGUUUUUGGUAAUCCAAUCACGAAGUCAAUUGAUAAAUCUUCCCAUAUUGAGGUCGGGAUGGGUAGUGGCGAGUAUAAUCCUGCAUUCGUGCUGGAGCCUUUGGUUCUUUGACAGAUGGGGCAUCUUUUUACGAAAUUAUUGGAGUCUUUUCUUAUUUGCGGCCAGUAGUAUCGUUUGGAAGUGAUCUCCAAUGUCUUAUUCUGUCCGAAAUGUCCAGCUAGCCCUCCAGAAUGUGCUUCCUUUAUUAAGGCUUCACGUAGUGAGGUGUGCGGGAUGCAUAAUUGUUCUCCUUUAAAUAGAUAUCCUUCAACAAUGUGGUAGUCAUCAGCGUCUAAGAAGUUGGAGCAUUUGUACCAGAUAUCCUUUAUAUGAGGGAACUCAUGAAGGAGCUGCUGUAAUUUGGGUUCUAUGUCUUCAACCUGUUUUUCUUUGGUUUUUUCAAUAACAACCAGUCCUAGGAUGUCUUGUUCCCUUUCUUUAAGCAUGUUUUUCCCACUAACAGUGAUGAAUAACUGUUUCUCACCUCUUAACCCUUCGUUAAUCUUUUUCGUUAUAGGGAGUAAGACUACCUUUCUUCCCAUCCAUUGAAACUCAUAUGUAUUUUCUCUCCUUUGUGUAAUGAUUGAGUAUCAUACUGCCAAGGUCUUCCUAGUAGGAGAUGGCAUACAUCCAUCUCAAUGACAUCACAAACAAUUUGGUCUUUGUAGGCGUUUCCAAUGGAGAGAGGGACUGUACAGAUUUCGCUGACCGUGGCUUCUCCUCCUUUUCUCACCCAACCUAUCUUGUAAGGGUUUGGAUGUGCUUCAGCCUUUAGAUUCAAGACUGUUACUAAUUUCUUUGCUACGAAGUUUUCACUGCUGCCGUUGUCUAUGAUUACAUCACAUACUCUUCCGUUUAUGGUGCAUCUUGUCUUGAAAAGACAGUGGCGUUGCAGGUUCUUUUCUUCCUUGGGCGUAAUUAGUAACCGUUGGAUAACACAAGAGACCCUUUCCCCAUCAUCUGCUUCAAUCAGUUCAGUUUCUUCCUCUGCUUCUAUACUGUCUUCACUUGUCUGUCCUCCAUCUUCGGCUAUUGCAAUGGUUUUUCUUUGCGGACAGUUGUUGGACAGGUGGCCAGUUUGGCCACAUCGGAAGCAUUUUCCUAAUGACGGGCGGGAGUAGUUGUUCUGACCACUAGGCUUGAACGUCUGUUCUUUCUUUCUUUCAACGGCUACUUCUUGAUUAUCAAUCUCUUUCCCUUUUGCUUUUGUUGAGGUUGAAGGUUGGUCGUUUGUUUUGCUUUUUGUCGAAUUUGUUUCCCAUGCUGAUCUUCUAUUUAGAUUCUUGGAUCGAAUUGCAAUCAUCUCCUCUACCGUUUCUGCAAAUGAUAUUGCUUCAGACAGGAAACGGAAUGGUUGUAGUCUGACCUUUUCCUUGAUGUCGAAUCGAAGGCCUCCCACAAAUCUUGCAACCUGGUGCUGUUCAUUUUCGCUUAGGUUUGUUCUUGCACUCAGGCGGUGGAAUUCUUCAAUGUACUCAGCUACUGUCCGGACACCUUGGCGGCAGUUUUGGUACUGAUUGUAUAAAGUUUGUUCGUAGUUUGGUGGUAAGAAUCUUGCCUUCAGCAAUUUUUUCAUCUUUUCCCAUGAGCGAACCGGUUGUUUCCCGCAUCUUUGUCUAUUGAUUUCUAACUGAUCCACCAAGCUGAUGCACCAGCCCUUAAUUUUAAGGCUACUAGGUGGACUUUCUUGCGUUCAGGCGUAUCCAUGUAGUUGAAGAAGUUUUCAGUACUCUUUAUCCAGUCCAAGAAUGCUUCUAUGUUUCGUUUGCCAUAAUACAUGGGAAGGUCGAUCUUCAUCUUAUAAUCGUGGUAUUCUCCUCUUCUGGCCUCAAUUCUUCGGUUAUUUCUUCCUGCUCGUGCUUCAUCAUUGAAGUUCCACAUGUUUCCUUGUUCAUCCCCGCUUGAAGAAUCAUCUUCUUGGGUUUCUUGCCAAUCUUCUUGAUCUUCUUGAAGGUCUUCGUCAAGCUGUUGCUGUAUAGCGUAACCGGGUCUCCUUCUUUGAAGUCCUCGUGGAUUGUUCAUGUUUCUAACGUAUCCCCUUGCUCGCCGGCCUCUUGCUUCACCAAAACGUUGGUCGUUUUGGAAGUUAAUUUCAUUCCGUGGUGGUGGCUGUGGGAAUUCUCCUCUUCGGUUUAACAGUUCGACACUUUCCAUCAACUUAUCAAAUUUGUUGUGGAGAUCUCCCAAAGAUUCUUCAACAGCCAGCAAGCGAACUGUUGAUGUCUUUGGAGAGAGGACGGUGAUUUCCUCCGCCGCUUCUUGCACACGGUUUUCCCCCGUGGCAGGGUUGUUAACUCUUCGGCCAGCCAUUCCGUCCAAGAAUCGGGCUGCUCUGAUACCAAUUUGAUGUAAUUCAAGUUGGAUUGAUUUUUCAAAAGAAUUCUCUGCCAUAUUUCGGGCUAGGAGACUGUUAUAUAUUGAUAUCUCAAGGUUAGUUACAAGUUAGUUACAAGGUUGUUUUAUUUGGUUAGUUACAAGACUGUUUUAGGAAGUUAGUUACAGCUGUAUUUCUAAUUAGUUAGGGAUUUUUACUAACUAACUAGCUAUAGUUUACAUCAAAAAAUAUUUAAAAAGACCAAACUAGAAUCAUCUAAUCUUCAUCCAUCCCGCCUAAGUCACACAAAAUAACCCACUUAAAUAUCUUUAACAAUUCAAUGAAGAAGUUUUUCAUUUAUCCUCGUACUUCUCUCUCUAAUCUUCUUCUCCUCUGUCAUUCUAACUCUGGUGCGCCAACCUUUUCUAUUCUAUUCCAUUGCAAUUGUAUUUCAAUAUUUUUUAAGAGAAAUUGUAUUUCAAUACCUUUGAUAGUACUUCUGGUAAAGUAUUUUGUAGUAUUGUCAUCAACUAGACCAGUGUUUUAAAAAGCGCACUAAGCCGCGCGCCUAGGUGCGCCUAGGCUCAAGGCGCCCACUUGGAGCUUAUUUGUGAGGAAGUGCGGAGAAUUCUAAAAAGCCCAGAUUAGGCGCGCGCCUCAAAGGCGCAAGUCGAAUUAGGAGUGGGCUAUUUUUAUAACUUAUGGGCUGGGCUUUAAUUAAUAAAAAACUAUUAUUAUCUAAAUUUUUUAAACCUAUUACGUGAAAGUGAAGAAACAACCCUUCACCCUUCUCCUCCCGCGCAUGAAUUUUCUUCAACACGACUCUUCAUCUACUUUUUCGGUUCUUCCGUUCUGCUUCUACUUCAAAACUUUUUGCUUCCUUUUCCACCUUCUUCUUCACACAAAGCGUCAACAAAUCUAUUUGGUGCUGCGGCUGCCAUUACUCUGUUUUUUGGUGCAAAAACAGAGGAAAAGAGAAGACAAUAAUAUUCUGCUUCAGUUUUCACCUCCUCCAUUUCAGCUUUAUCGCGGGUGAGUAUCUCAAUCGUACGUUGUAAACUUUUUGCCUCCUCUUGGAUUAGAUUUAAAUUCACAUCAAGUGAAUCUCUUUGUUCAGUUAACAUCUGCAUUGCUUUCUCCUUCUUCUGUAACUCUUUGACAAGAACAUCAAACUCCACAGCAUCCCACUUUCUUUCACCACAGCUUAUUCAAUUCUCAUUUGAAGCUCAGAAAUUCUCUUCCCGUUCUCUUCCUUUUCCUGUUUGAAACAGAAUGUACUCUGUUUUAAUUGAGCAACUUCCUUCUCUAACUUCUCAAAUCUCAACCUCCAUUUCCAGCCCAUUUUUUUCCUUUUCAAUCUCACCUUUCUCCUUCAUUUUCACAUCCACUUUCCUCUCUAAAUCUUCAAUUACCCUGCCUGAUUCCUCCAACAACUUCUUAAUCAAUUCAUUGUCUUUCGUCAGAUUCACAUUCAAAAUCUCACAUUCCUUUUUUUCACUCAACAACUUCUUCCAUUUCGUACAUGCUUUUCAAAGGAUUAUUAGUUUUUAUCCUUUUACUUUCAUUUAACAUAUUGAUUGCUCAGAAUGGUGAAAAGAACAAAUAUGGAUGAACGAACUUGAAAUGUUUUCUAUCUAUUGCAUCUUUUGGCUCUAUUGUCAUUUCCUCUAAUUUGGUUGCUAAGAGAAUGGAAGGUGGAUCCUCUCUUUCAUUUUCGAGAACUAAGUUUCCACCUACAAUUCCAAUGAAACUCGAGAGGAAUGAGAUGAAAUAUAGCAGAGGAUUGAGAUAACUACAAUCAAGUUUUGACCAAAAGUCUAUAUUUCAUGCUAAGCAUAGUGGGCUAUUUUUUUAGAUGUGGAAUUCUGAGUAUCUCUCCUUUGUUGAUUUGACAUCUUGCAUUAAAUUUCAUACUCUACUGUGACACUUUGUUGUGUCACAGAUUCAUUUGGUUCUAGUAUGUUUUGGUCUAAGUUAGCUAUCAAUUUGCUGAUUUGACGGCUACGAACUACAUAUGUCGUUUUGUGUUUUCAUAGCGUGGUAUACCCAUUGAGUGACUAUUGGUUUUGUCUCUUGACUUAUUUAUUGUGUGCAAGUUUUGGACAUCUUCUUCUUCUUAUACUUCUCGACCACAACUUCCUUCAAUAACCCAUCAAACUCAACCUUCAUCCCAUCCCUCUCACAACACACUCCCCUCCAAUCCUCCAUUUAUAACAGCUUCAUCCCAUCCAUAGAUAGCUUCUGUUUUUUAUCUUUUUAUAACAGCUUCUGUUUUAAAUAGCUUCUGUUUUUUUUUUUUUUUUUAUAACUUAGAUCAUAGAUGGCUGAUAAAAGUUCAAGAAAAAUCCGGCAUGGAAAUAUGGUCAAUUGCAAAAUGACCAAGAUAAAAAUACGUUUGUCUGUGGAUUUUGUUCGAAAGUAACAAAAGGAGGGUAUAUAGAAUGAAACAACACCUCGCUGAUGGUUACAGAAAUGUCACCGCCUGUACAAAAUGUUCGGAUCACGUGAAGGAAGAAAUUAAAGAGUACAUGUCCAAAAAAAAAAGAGAUUAAAGAACAAAAAAAUCUGAUUGUGGACAUUGAUGUAGAAGAUUACGGUAUCGAGGAUGAAGAUGAAGGGAGUGUUAGUGUAAACAACAUAACAACACCAAGGGGCCCGAGCUUGAAGAAGCCAAGGCAAAAGGGUCCAAUGGAUGCAUUUUUUACUCCUAACCCAGAAACUGUGGUUCAAAAUAGAAAGGACAAAGGAAAACAAACUUCAUUGAAUGGGGCAUACAAGAAGGAAAUGAGAGAGCACACCAUCCAAAGAAUUGCUCGAUGGUUUUAUGAUGCAGGAGUGCCUCUGAAUGCCUGCACAUAUGAUAGUUUUGCCCCUAUGAUUGAGUCAAUUGGACAAUUCGGUCCUAGAUUGAAACCACCAUCUUAUCAUGAGUUAAGAGUUCCAUGUUUGAAAAAGGAAUUAGAAGCAACAAAUGAGUUGAUGAGUAACCAUAUGGCAAAGUGGGCCAAGGUUGGAUGCACUGUUAUGGCUGAUGGAUGGACCGAUAGAAGAAAUAGGACAUUAAUUAACUUUUUAGUUAACAGUCCUAAAGGCACCAUGUUUAUUGAGUCCAUCGAUGCUUCAUCUUAUGUGAAAGAUGGAAAGAAGAUGUUCGAGUUAUUUGAUAAUUUUGUAGACCGAAUUGGAGAAGCAAAUGUUGGACAAGUAGUUACCGAUAGUGCCUCAGUAAAUGUGAUGGCAGGUAAGAAUGUAGACUACUUACAAGUUAUAACUUUAAUUUGUUAGAUUUAGUUGAGUUCUACGUUAAAUGUGUACUUAUUUUCUUUGUUAAUAGGGAGAUUGUUAGAAGCAAAGCGACCACAGUUAAUAUGGUCUCCGUGUACCGCUCAUUGCUUAGAUUUGAUGUUGGAGGAUGUAUACAAGAUCUCGAAUAUUCGAAAAGCAUUGAAAAGAGGCAUGGAGAUUAGCAAUUUCAUAUAUGUUCAUCCUGGAAUGUUAAACAUGAUGCGAUGUUUUACUAACCAAAAGGACUUAGUUAGACUAGAUAAGACUCGUUUUGCUACUGCCUGCAUUACAUUAUCGAGUAUACAUCGUCAAAAGAAUAAUCUGAGGAAAUGUUUACUUCAGAUGAAUGGAAGAAUAGCAAAUGGAGUAAGGAGCAACAAGCGAAACGAGUAGUUCAGACUAUUUUGUUGGCUAGUUUUUGGACUACAAUUGUUUUCACUCUUAAAGUAUCUGGCCCACUAGUCCGAGUUCUUAGAUUGGUUGAUGGCGAGAAGAAGCCACCUAGGAUAUAUUUAUGAGGCCAUGGAUAGAGCUAAGGAAGCUAUUGCUAAAUCCUUUAAUAAUAAUGAAGAAAAAUACAAGGACAUUUUCACCAUAAUUGAUAAAAGAUGGAGCUUCAGUUGCAUCGUCCCCUGCAUGCAGCGGGGUAUUAUUUAAACCUGUCAUUCUAUUAUCUGAAUCCUAAUAUCCAGAAGGAUGAUGAAAUAGUUAAUGGACUCUACUCAUGCAUAACAAAAAUGGUUGCUUCAUUGGAAGUACAAGACAAAAUACUUGCAGAACUAAGCAAGUAUAAGAGAGCUGAAGCAUUAUUCGGACAAUCUUUAGCAAUCAGACAAAGGGACAAAAUAUCUCCAGGUAAAUUUCAACUAAACGAUUACUCAACGAUACUAGCAACAAGUUCUUCUAUUAAUAUAUAUUUUUUGUUUGUGCCUAUAGUGGAAUGGUGGGAUAAUUUUGGACAAUCAACUCCAAGCUUGCAAAAGUUUGAUGUGAGAAUUUUAGGUCUUACUUGUAGCGCUUCUGGAUGCGAGCGUAAUUGGAGUGUGUUUGAACAAGUUACCUUUUCUCUCCUUAAGUACAUUGAGAAUGAGAAUCAAAAUUUGUUGAUUCACUGAUAAUGAAACUUUCUAAUUUUUCAGCUUCAUAGCAAGAAACGAAAUAGGCUUGCUCAAAGUCGUUUGAAUGAUCUAGUGUUCAUCAAAUACAACACAGCAUUAAAACAUCGAUACAACCUACAAGAUAUUGUCGAUCCCAUCUCCUUAAAAGAUAUUGAUGAUAGUAACGAAUGGUUGAUUGGAAGAUUGGAUGACGAUUCUGAGGAGGAUGAUGAGUUGGUAUUUGACGAUGAUUCUUUAACGUGGGGUGAUGUUUCUAGAGCUGUCGGAGCAAAAAGAACCAUCAUUCUAUUCUAGAGCUAGUACCUCUAGAGCAAAGACUAAUGUUUCAUGUUCAUCCUCGUCUACCACGCAACGCAAACAAGUAAAUUUAGAUGACUUCGAUUUGGAAGAAGAAGAUACUGAUGGCAAUAAGUCUAACGAAGGAGUGAAUGAAGACGAGGAUCAAUUUAGUGAUGAUGAGUUUGAUCUUUAGGGAUGAACUUUUAUUUUGAUUGUUGACUUGUUGUUGAAUACUGGGUAGUUUUCUGUUGUGUUUUGUUGUUUAGGCUACUUAUAUUGGGUACUUAUAUUUUAUACAUUGUUGCUCUGCUACGAGUGUAUAUAUAUAUUUUUUUUCUUUUUAUAUAUAGUGCGUCUUAUCAAAAAAAGCUCACGCCUUUUUUUGCGCCUUGUGCCUAGGCUCCAGAGGACCAAUGCGCCUUAGUGCGCCUUGAGCCUUUAAAAACACUGAACUUGACACUUCAUGUCUAUUAGUGCAUUACAUUUAGCAUCUUUAUGUUAAAUCUGCAUAUAUUUGAUAUUCUCUUAAUUAAAAUAAUGUAUCUUCAACGUAUCCAUAUCCUAGUUUUUCAAAAAUUGGCAUAUCAUUUGUAUCCUAUUGAAUUAUCCUAUAUUUGUAUUUGUGUUCAUAUUUACUACAUUUUUUGUUGGAAGAGGAAGAAAAAGGGAGCUGGUGGGCUUUUCCUUUAAUAGCAACAACGGUGAGCGGCACAACAAUGAUGGAGAGGGGUUGAAGGAGGAGAGGAGAGAGAGAAUUCAAUAAAAUUAAAAUUAGUAUUUUAUUCAACUUAUUUAUAUUAAUUAAUAAUAUUUUUAUUCAUAGUAAUUACCACAUGUAGAUCCUGUUAAUAAAGGGAGCAAAAUCAAGCAUUUUUCAAAUGUAGGAGACUCGAUUGUUCAAUUUUCAAACUUAGACAACAAUUCAAAACAAACCUCAAGGAUCAAAAGUGUAAUUUUCACUUUGAUAUCUUGUUCAAAUUGGAUUUAUGACCCAUUUUAUUCCCGCAAAGACACCUUCCUCUCUCUCAUUCGUGUUUCUCUCUAAGAAAAACAUACCCCGCAAAAACAGUGUAUAUUGAAAGUAAAAAAAAUCAAAAACAUCCAGUAAACAUUAUUAAUCCCAUACCUCAGCACCAGAAGACUGAUCAGAUGAACCUAAAUUCCCGCAAGCAUAGCACUGGUGCUGUUUGUACUCGCAAUUCUUGCAAAUAAAGGUUUCAAUUGCCUGCCAGCAAGCCCAUAGAUAUUGAAGAAAAUUAACAAAGGGAGUUUGCAAGCAUAGAAAACAUACAUGAAUAUUAUCAUACAUCUACUUCUUCUUUAGAGAGACCGAGCGAGAAACAAUCACCAUCCUCUUCAGUUGCAUGAAAGGACCUCAUGCACCUCCCAUCACAGCUAUAAGAAAAUCAAAAUAGCUUAUUAGGCUUAGCUUGAUGCUUCUACUUGGGAGAAAAUUUCCAAUGACUUCUGUAAUUAUUCACUAGAUCAUAUUAUUUUGAACUAGAAACACUUUUGUGUGUGAUUUCCUGGUCGAGCUGUCAUUUCUAUGUCAUUCUGAGAAGAAGGCUAAAAGGGAAGGAAAUUCCAUCGAACUAUGAUUUUAAGAAACAAACAAUUUUGCAAAGCCAGUAACCAACCUCGAUAAUUUAAAGUAGGGGAAAAAAACAAUAUGUGUAUUGUGAAAAAAAGGCAGAAGGUAUAUUAAAAAAUAACAGGAGAACAGGUAUUGGCAGUUGAGAUAUGAAAUAUUACUCUCUCCACAAGAAAAAAAAACCUUAUCAUUUAGUUAAAAUCGGACACAAGAUCCAUAAAAUGAAUUAUCAAAUAUCAAUGGAUCACUUUAAACAAAACAGAAAGGAAUGCACUACAGAAAAUGAAUACUUCAACAUUUCAUCAAAAAUAAUGAAAUAUACAAAAAGGAAACCCUAAAACCAAAGAAGAUACUGAAAACUAUAGAGAGAGAAUAGGUACAAAAAAUUUAGAAAGAACACUCCAAGAUGAUGCUACAAAACUAUGUACCACCAUGUAUUUUCUUGGCCUUUUCUCUAACAGGAUACAAUAGAAAGGACCCAUUAACGAAGGCAUUUACAACAUAUAAGCAGCAGUGAUGUGGGGGAAGGUUGGGGAUCCAAAAGCCAAACCCUCCAAAUGGAGUUUUCAAAUAGGUCAUCUAUUUAGCAAAAUCUGGUUCUUUAGCACAAUGUUAAUUGAAGAUACCCAAAAUUUAAAAGAAUUCCUACUUAAAGGUUUUAUUCAUCUAUCUCCUGCCCAUUAUAAGCUUAAAUAUUUCUUUCCAAACAUAACUCCAUACAAAUUGCAAAAUGAAGCACAUCCGUAGAUAAUCUUCCCUAUCCUUUGACUAUAAGCCUAAAAGAUUGGAAAUCCAAUGUUGACAACAAAGAGCAAUCCUUCAAUCAUCUCUUACACCCCUUACUUUUGUGGCCCUGGUAGAACAUUGUUUCUCCUUACACAGUUACAGCCAGUUGGAUAACUUUUUUGUAACCUCCUUCAGCAUCGGGCUUGCUUUCCUCCCCCCUCUUCUACAAUAUUAUCAUCUAUGAAAGUGUUUCUAAUUCAAACAAAAUGACAAAGUAUACCACUGAAAUAACUAUCAUUUGAACAGUAACUAUACUUUUUCCAAAAUUAUUCAAAUUAUAAUAAAUGCAUGUUCCACAUGCAAAAUUUCCUUGUUACUAUCUCUUGAAUUAACAAGUGGCAAAGACUCGUAUUCUGUAGAAUUAAUUCAAUUCAAUAGCCCAGCGACUAAGUUGUGCAAAACCAGAUCUCUUCUUUGUUGACAUUUUUUUAAGUACCUCAACUAGUUAAACAUUGUACCCUCUACCACUAUUUUCAAGAUUUUAAGGUCAUCUAAAGUCCCAAACGUAACAGAAUCUUCAUUAGAGUUUUUGGAGUCUUUGUACUCUUUUAUGCCAUGAAAUCAACACUUGUGAGAUGAUAUGAAACAUAUAUCCUACUUGGCUACUGCACUCUGUGCUUGCAAGCUGACCGCAAGGAGAUUAACCGUGUGUACUUUCACAAUCAUUACCCACAGAAAAUCAGGGCCUUGCAUUCCACCAACUGAUCAGGACAGCUCCCUCUAAAAUUGAGGACUUGGAUCUCAGAUUGUAUGGGAAUUAUCUUUAUAGAAAAUGAAAAGCCUACGGGGAUAAAUAUGGUUCCAGAAGUCCUGUAGGAACUUUCUGAAAAGAGGGUAUAAAAAAUAUUUUGAGGAUGGAAGUCAACAUAACCUAGAACUGUGGAAUGGUUGAGUCAAAAAUUUUAUUUAUCUUGCACUAAUUGAAACUCCAUUGCCUGUGGGCGUGGCUUUGAGACUUAGGAAUGUAUCACGAACUCCUUCCUCCCUCCCCCCUGCCCUUUUGUUUCUUCUUCACAUCCAUAUAAAAAACUUUAUUCAACAAAACAAAUGAACAUAAUCUUUUCAUUGUCUGCACAAGAAUGAAAGAGAACCUGGGACUUAGCUAAUAGAUCCCACAAAGAUUUGCUAGAUGUAUCUGGAUUCCUCUUCAAAGCAUGAAGGCAGUGCACUGUGAUCAAGAUGGUUCUAAUGGUAUCCUCAAAGCUCUUUCUAGGCUUCUGAAGUGUAAUCCACACAUUCUCUUUGGAAAGCACCGAUAUCUCUGGCUUUGAACCAGAAAUAUUAAAUCUCCAUGCGGUAACCUGUUUAUAAACCUUUUGAAGUCCAUUAUCAACUGUACCAUGGAGGAAAACAGGUUCUUGACUGCCCUCCAGUCUCUCCCCUUCAUCCCAUUUAAUCGGCAAAAUAGAGAAUGAAAUAGGUUCUUCCUUGUGAUCCACAAAGUGAUAAUUUGAGACAGGUGGUACUGGUAAGGUCUCAGCCUCAUCAUCUGAAGACGCCAUUACUCUAUUGUAGUUCCAGUCCUGCUACUUAACAACUAAAUUCAAUGAGUGGAAUAACAAAAUAAAAAAUGACUAAAAAUCCGACCUACAAUGAAAGAGAAUACUUCACUUUCCCUUAAGACUAGAACAAACACCCGUUCUUGAAACAGGAAUAGGAUUGAUCAUAGUGACAUAUCCAUACGAAGUAAUCCCUAAAAUGCAAAUACAAAAAGGGUAAUUGAGAGGGACGAAGAAGGUACCUGAAUGGCCUUCGGUUGAGAGCCAAUCCCUACAAGAAGCUAUUCAAACUCGGGAAAUGGCAAUACCGAACAAUUUCAACAAUGUUAGCAGCGAAGAUAGCAAAGGAAGAAUGGGAACAGAUUGUAAACAAGAAUCGGAUACCAGCAGCCCUACGGAAGAAAGUCAGGCAGAAGUUGGGGAGGUGAAAAUUAGUUCGCGACGGAACCGGCGAAGAAGAGAGCAAUAUUCUUUGGGGAAAAGAAGUUACCAAAAAAUUGUGAAAACUGAAAGCCACAGAAUCGGUAAAUUAUAAAAAAGAUACGAAGAGGAUGUUUUGGAGGCAAGAGGGAGGGGAUGUUCGGGGUAAGAGGUAGAAUAGAGAUACUACGGGGUCGUUUUGGACUAAAAUUAUGGCCCUUAUUUGUAAACAUUAUUUCAAUAAAAGCAGUUACUCUAAACACUUAAGUAAAAUAAACUAGAAUAAUCAUCACGGUUGGGUUGGAUUAAAUUAGAGGAAAAAAAUACUGAUCUGGUUCACCCAACCCUAUUAUGCAUAUAAUAUAUAUAAUUGAAUGUAAGAAGGGGUAGAAUUCAAAAACAAAACUUUGUAACUCACGUUCUACUAUUAAAAUUACCAUUUUAUUCAUCAUUUUCUUCCCAACACUUGAAGUUGCAUCAUUUCUUUCAUCUUUAUUAUUUCUUCUCUAUUUGUGUUCUUUAUGUACUCUUUGCUCUAAAAGACCAUAUUCAAUUUUCUUUAACAUCUCAAGUUAUUGGUAUUCAAAAUUUUAGGGACAUACAUUAGACAGGUUGAUAUAAUGACCCCUCAUGGACACCCAUUAUGUCCAUUUUUUCUAAGCUUUUCUCUUUGUUUAUGUUGUCCUUUUUAAGCUUAAGAAGUCUUUGUGCUAGGGUUGCUGCAUAUAUCUUGAUUUCUCUUUACCAUUUGGGCUAAGAAGAGUCGAUAUUCAAAGGAUUCAUUCCUAUGUGCGUGUGGCUGUUGUUCGUGUGAAUGCUUGGCUAAAGAUUAAUUUGAAACCAAUCUAAUGACAUUGCUUUAGGAGAUCCUAAAGUUGGCUCUAUCGAGAAGGGAGAUCUCAUCAACUUAGGGGGAGUCUAAGUUUAUUCGUGAAGGGAGUUCACAAGUAAAGAGGAAUGAUUAAUCAAGAAUUUCUAUUAUUUAGGGGAGUUUGAGUAGUUAUUCACUAAUAGUAGCAUACUUAAGGGGAGCCUAAGUAUUAAAGAGAAUGUUUCCCAAGUGUCCAGUGAAUUAGUUCUACGAUUGUCUUUGUGAGCGAA